AAUCCCUCCCUUGCUCUUAAACAUGAUGUAAAUUGAAUUAAACUAUAACACCUAUAUAAGUUUGUGUCUCUUUGGAUUGAUGAUUGCUCUCUAGAAUUUGCCUAAAGUUUUUGUCUUGUAUAUGUCAUUUGUAGGGCAGCGUGGAGAGAAGGCCAUUUAGUGGCUAAUUAUUACAAGCAGUUUUUUCGAAUGCUACUUUUUAAGUGGCAGCAAACAUUCAACCCUCAAGGUAAACCAUUUACUGGUUAUGCACAUAUACGGGAUGAUCAUUGGUACUGUAAUGUUUCUAGUCAUUCAUUCAAGACGUUAAGGACGUUAAGGACGUUUUAGGCAUAAAACAAACAAUAGGAAAAUUAAUGAAAAUGACUUAAAAAUUUUAAGUUUUAACGAUAAGGACAAAAUAAAGGGUAAAGUGAAUAGUAUCAAGAUUGAGUUUUUAGUGUAAAAAUGUGGUUUUUCGUUAAAAUGAACAGUACCGGAAACUUUUCGUUAAAAUUUCCAUUAUAAAUUUUUGGUUUUUGGUGGAGAAAGGAAACCAUCCAAAUUUUCUGUUUUAAACAAUUUGUUCAACUUGAUUUUAAUCUGUUUAUGAAACAAAGAACCUGGACCUUUUGGCUUUUGCAAAGCCAUGCCACAGAAUGUUAGACAGAAAUUCUCCAUACCUGCCUCUAUCUCUCCCUCAGAUUGCGGCCCAACAAGCCCGGGAAACCGAGAUUACAGCCCAGUUAUCGGCCCACUACGAGAAGAUGAGUAUGAUAAUACGGGCAUUACAGAUGUCUGGCCUCCAAAUCCCGAUGCCAGCACCUGAUCUUGCUCCACCUUCGACCUCACAGCCAUUUCACCUAGCCGAUACCCAGUAGCCUGAUGCAUCAAACCUAGAAGACUUUUUUUUUUUUUUUGGUCAAUACCUAGAAGACUACUUGUUGUAGUUUUUUUCUUUUAUGUUCGAACAUCUUGUAUGUACAUUUUCAUAUAUUUUAUAAUUAAAUACUUUUUCUUGGUUUGUUAAUUAUUGUUUAUAAUUUAAUUAAAACAUUUAUAAAAAAUUAAAUAAAAAAUAUUUUUGCCAUAAAAAAAAAAGGUUUGCACGAUGAAGAAUUGUUCAACGUACAUAACUCUAUCCUAACUUUCUUACAACCAAACAGAGUAUUUUAUAUAACAAAAAUUGUUAAAAAUAAAUGCUUUUCUAAAAUAAUUCUAUAUAAAACAUGUCGGAAAUUUUAUUAAACAUCUAAAUACUUCCUAAGAAACGCAUAACGAAUGCUUCUUCAUACACUGUUUUUACAACCAAGACCUAGAGGCACUUGGAAUAAUUUCAACCAAAAGAUAAUCAUAAUACAGGGCGUAUUGUAAAAGCCCGUUGGGCUAGUUGUCCCUGUGCACAAUCAAUGCAACCACCUCACCCCUCCCAAAUCCACCAAGUUCCAGCCAAUGUUCAUGUAAAAAAUCUCAAUUUCAAGAAAAAUGUAAAAAUCUCAAUUUACCUUCAAAUGUCAAAUUCAUCACCAUUUUUAUUACUUGUUCAAAUUUAAUUAGACUAAAUAUGACUCUCGAUUUCCACUUAGUAUUACGGUCUAGUGAUAUUUAUCUUCACUUGUAAGUGAGAGGUCUUAAGUUUGAUUUUAGCCAAAGAUGAAUUUGAACCACAUUAUUAUUAGUCUAUUGUGAGAAUAAACCCACCCAAAAUAUCGUUUGUUAAAAAAAAAGAUGAAUCUCAAUUAAUAAAAAAAAAAAAAAAACGUAAAUUGAUACGUCCUAAGUACCAAAUUAAGUUCAAGGUAUUACCAAAUUUUCUAAGAAGUUAGUCGAAAUGAUCAAUUUGCAAGUUUUAUUUGCUGAAAUAAUAAAUUCUCAACAUCUAAUAACUUUUAUUCCUUCUAACAAUUGAAUUUGUAAAAUGAAUUUCAAUCAAUAUUAUCAAUUCUCCCAACGUGUUCUUUAUUUAUUUUUGUCAAAUUAUAGAUUUGAUUAAAUAUUAGAUUAGUCAUUGAUAAGGCUUGAACUCAAGUCGGCAUGCAAGGAUUCGACAUCUUUUCACCACUGUGGUAAAGAGCCACUUACAAACAUAUUCUUUAUUUCAAUCAAUGCAGAUGAUGCUUACCGCAUAAACAAUCAUGUCUAUAUACAACAUUUAGGGUUCGAUCCAUACUAAGUUUUUGCAAGUGGCCCUUUACUAUAGUGGUGUGAAAGUGUUAAGCCCUUGCAUGACAGCGUGAAUUCAAACUUCGUUGGUGACUAAUUUAACAUAACCCAUCAUUUGACAAAAAAAAAAAAAAAAAAAAAAAAUCCAUACUAAGUUUUUUCUCUAACCUGCUAAAAUAAAUAAAUUAUAUUUAUUUUGGACAAGAUCAAAUAGAUACAAACGAAAAAAAACCAGACCGUGAGCUAUUUCCAAAGUCCAAAUGGACCUUUUACCCAAAGCCAUCACCUUUGCCCAACAUUCCCACCUUGUGCAGAGUGUGUAGCGCCACCGUAAAAAUUACCAAAUCUCAAAUCCUCCGCCGCCCAUGGCGGGUUCGUCCCUCAUGGAAAACCUCUUCCAGCGCACGCUGGAGGACCUAAUCAAAGGCCUCCGCCUCCAGCUCAUCGGCGAGUCCGCCUUCCUCUCCAAAGCCCUCGACGAAAUCCGACGCGAAGUCAAAUCCACCGAUGCCGACACCAAGCCAACGCCCUGCACAAGCUCACCUACCUCUCCUCCCUCCACUUCUACGACAUGUCCUUCGCCGCCUUCCACGUCGUCGAGCUCCUCUCCUCCACCCGCUUCUCCCACAAGAAGAUCGCCUAUCACGCCGCCGCCCACUCCUUCUCCGAUGACACCCCCGUCCUCGUCCUCAUCACCAACCAGCUCCGCAAGGACCUCACCUCCACCAACGAGUUCGAGGUAAGCUUAGCGCUCGAAUGCCUUUCUAGAAUUGCUACUGUAGAUCUUGCUAGGGAUUUGACACCUGAGAUUUUCACCUUGCUGGGUAGCGGUAAGGUUUUCGUUCAAAAGAAAGCGAUCGCCGUGCUUUUGAGGGUGUUUGAUAAAUACCCAGAUGCUGUGAGGGUGUGUUUUAAGCGUUUGGUUGAGAAUUUGGAGAGUCCUGACUCGCAGAUUGUGUCUGUGGCUGUUGGGGUGUUUUGUGAGCUUGCUUUGAGAGAACCCAGAUCGUAUCUUCCGUUGGCGCCGGAGUUUUAUAAGAUCCUGGUUGAUUCUAAGAACAAUUGGGUUUUGAUUAAGGUGUUGAAGAUAUUUGCAAAGUUGGCCCCUUUAGAACCUAGGUUGGCAAAGAGGGUUGUUGAGCCGGUAUGUGAGCAUAUCAGGAGGACCGGGGCCAAAUCGUUGCUGUUUGAGUGUAUUAGGACUGUGGUGACCAGUUUGAGUGAUUAUGAAUCUGCAGUGAAGGUGGUGGUUGUCAAAAUUCGCGAAAUGCUAGUUGACGAUGAUCCGAAUCUUAAGUAUCUCGCAUUGCAGGCACUUUCCGUUGUUGCAACAAAGCAUUUGUGGGCAGUUUUGGAGAAUAAGGAGGUUGUGAUUAAGUCUUUGAGUGAUGUGGAUCCGAAUAUCAAGCUGGAGUCUUUGCGUCUUGUUAUGGCAAUGGUAUCUGAGAAUAAUGUGGCUGAAAUUUGCAGGGUUUUGGUCAAUUAUGCUCUUAAAUCUGAUCCAGAGUUUUGCAAUGAGAUUCUUGGUUCCAUUUUAUCAACAUGCUGCAGUGAUGUAUAUGAGAUUAUUGUGGACUUCGAUUGGUAUGUAUCACUUUUGGGAGAAAUGUCGAGGAUCCCGCAUUGCCAGCAGGGGGAAGAAAUUGAGAAGCAACUUAUUGAUAUUGGUAUGAGGGUCAAGGAUGUUAGACCAGAGCUUGUUCGGGUUAGUCGUGAUCUGCUGAUUGAUCCUGCAUUACUUGGUAAUCCAUUCUUACACAGGAUGUUGUCGGCUGCUGCUUGGCUGUCAGGGCAAUAUGUUGAGUUCUCAAUAAACCCAUUUGAACUCAUGGAGGCACUAUUACAACCUCGUACAACUCUCUUGUCACCAUCUAUAAGAGCGGUAUAUGUACAGUCUGCUCUCAAAGUUUUACUCUUUUGUCUAAAUGCUUACCUUUUGCAGAGGGGGAAUGCUGCAUCCUCCUCAACUUUUGAUAUAUUGGUGCCAGAUGUUCCAGGAUUGGUUUCGGAACGAGAUGGCCCAGAGAGUUCUAGUUUGGCAUCAUGUGAUGCUCCUGUGCAUUGCAAACAGGAUGAAGGAUUCAACCCGAGGGUUUUUAAUCAGUCUUUUGAAGGUCUUUCUGUAGAACAUGGUGGGGAGGAAACAGCUACUCUUGGGCAAGCAUCCGCAUCGUCUUCAUUGAAGGAUAGUUUCACACAUGAAUCUAUCGUAAACCUUUUAAAUCGAGUUGAAUUGGCUGUGGUUCCCCUAACAGGAAGCUAUGAUGUAGAAAUACUAGAGAGAGCACGAAAUAUACUUUGUUUCACCGAGUUGAUUAAGCGAGAUCUGCUUGAUAGUCCAAUACAGAAGGAAGAAAGUUUGGAAAGGGAAGGAGCCCAAGCGUCUCAAAUCAUCAAAUUGAUGCAUGAUGCCUUUUCAAAUGAUCUAGGUCCUGUCUCGGUAAGUGCUCAAGAAAGAGUUCCUGUACCAGAUGGGUUAGUGCUUGCGGAGAAUCUUGAAGACUUGGAAACAAUCUUCGGUGAUGUUCAACUACCUUCAUUAAAUUCGUUCUCUCUUGGAAGCCCACAGUAUGUGGAGAGAGCUGGUUUUUCUAUUCCUAUCCAUGAAAUCAAAGAAGAGCCAGUGCCAUCGAGCGAAUCCACAUCUCUACUUGCAGAGCACCGUAAGCAGCACGGUUUAUAUUAUCUUUCCUCUGCGAAUAAAGAAGAUGAUUAUCCACCUGCCAAUGAUACUAAAUUACAGCAUGAUACCAAUGACGACGACGGAGAUCUAGUUAAGCUUACAGAGCAAUUACUUCUUUCUAAGAAAAAGCCAAACCAUGCAAAGCCUCGGCCUGUGGUGGUGAAAUUAGAUGGAGAUCAAGCAACUAUUGCGAACAACCCUCGUCUGAAGGAAGAUUUGUUGUCUGGUACCGUGAGAGACGUUCUUUUAGGUAGUGACACCAAUCCCACUUCAUCCCAAGGUCAAGCAUCCACCAAGUCAUCGAGUAAGAGAAAAGGGAAGGAGAAACUAAAUGUUGAUUCUGCUAAAGAAAACUUGGGUGGUGUUGAAAAGCAUGAUCAAGGAAACCCAAGUUCAAGAAAAAGCAAGCACCAUAGUCAUAGUAAAGGGAGAAGACACGGAAGCCCGGGAAAAAAAGGAGAUGAAACAGAAGAAAAUGGUCAGAAAUUGCAGCAGAAAAGUAAUCGUACCCAUAGUAAGCACAAAGCUCGACAACGAGCGGAAGUGCCAUUGAAUGUGGUUGCACAAACACCGGUAAUUCCAGAUUUUCUUUUGUAGUGUUAACAACGUUCAAAUUUACUUCUUACUCAUCAUUUUCACCAUACUUGUCCUUGUAUACUGUUGAUGUUUGUCCUGCAGUCCAGCCGGAGAUUUUAUACAUUUGGUUUCUCUAGUCAUGGUUUGUGUUUGCACAACUGUUGGGAUUUUUUUCUGUUUUAAGCGAGACGACGUGAUCGUUGCAUCGUCUCGCGAAUUUCAUUCGAGCUAUGAAGUUUAAGGUUCUUUCUAAUUUCUGUUUUGAGUAUUACUUGCUUCUUGACGAUAAAAACGACAGAUUUGUCAAGAGGAGUAAAUUGACACAUUGUAAAAUUUAGGUGGCUCAAAAUCAAACUGAAAUUGCAGUGGCCAAUCGGAACAGGAGUAUUCAUAAAAUUUGACCAUUUUUUCGUCGAAACCACGCUAACCGAUUUUUCUUGAGUACCUAGAGAAGCUAAUAGAGACAUUUUUGGCCGUUGAAUUAGAUCCAUCAACUUAAACUUCAACUGUAACGGAUAUUAGUUUUGCUUCCUAGCGAAUCGGGUUCGGUUUCUCCUGAACUUGCCUUUUCGUCUUCUCGGAAAGGCAGUUUCGUAUCGUCUUCGUAAUAUGCAUGAACCUCUUUCCUAUGCGUAAGAUGGACUUUUUCUACCCCGGAAGAACAGGGGAAACAGCUUUAAUGCAUUCCUUCUUCAAUCAUUGUUGCCCCAAAUCUAGGUGCUUGCUAGCUCAUACCAACUUGGUGACAUUUGCACCGGGAAUGAAAGUCAAAUUUUAUUAUGUUCGGUAGACCUAACAAAUAGGUCGUAACGUCCAAGUUAAACUUUAACUAAAACAACUUGGAAUGAAAGUCAAAUUCUAUUAUGUUUGGUAGACCUAACAUAUAGGUCGUGUUUGUCGUGUUCGUGUCGUUUUCAUAUCAUAACCGUAACGGGUCGUGUUAUGUUAAACUCAUUAUCUUAACGGCUUAUUAACAAGCGAUCUGAUAAUGAUCUGAUAUGUUAAUGGAUUGUGUCGUUUCAUGUGGGGUUAACGGGUCAUGCAAGAAAUUGCCAUUAACAUGCCUUGUUUGUGUUAUACUCGUUAUCUUAUUGGGUUCUUAACAGAUGACUCGAUAACGACUUGACUUGUUAACGGGUUGACCUGAAACUUGUUAUUUUUGUAUUAUUUCAUGUCGGAAUAACAAGUCGUGUAAGAAAUCGUCUACCUUGACGAUUUUAAAGAAUUAACGGUAAAAUACUUGGGAACAUACAAAAAAAAUCUUCAAACUUAGGAUUGCAAUUUAGACGUAGGAAUGCUCGAACAGGUGGAAGACCAGUGGCCAUGAAAUGUCAACUCUUUAAAAGAUCAAAGGUGAUGACCAAGGCCUAAUUUAUGUGGUGUCGAUUUUCAAGAGGUCUUUCGAAACCCUAGGUCGUAGCAAUACCAAAACACAUGCAUGCAUCUUAAAUUUCACUCUACCUAAUCUUCUUUUUCCCAAGAAAAAGAAAGCUACUUCCGCUUUUAAUGUCCUAGCCUCCUAGGUUUAUUAAUGUAGGCAUCGAUCUGGUUUAGCUUGAAGUAGAUAGCUAGCUAAGUUCUUCUUCGAUCUGCUAAACUCUCCUAUCCUGCUCCCGGAAAUGGGAAGCGAACUCCGAAAAUCUCAGCCAAUUUCGAAGCUUUUGGUAUCGUAUUUGCAGUUUAGCCAUGCCUUUCAUCUAGUGUUUUUUGUCAUUGGUUUGUCCAUUGGAGUCAUGGUCAGUUCAUACUACAAGACCUUCUUCCCAUUCACCUUACAAACCACUUCCUCCUCGUCACUGCUACUGCCGCCUGCCUCAAUAUCACAGUUUCUGCCACAACCACCCUCACCGCCGCUUCUCCCUUUACAGGAAUCAGGUACUGAUAACGUUGCAUCGGAUACUGAGGCACUUUUGGUGCACAAGAUGGUUGAUGACGGUGAGUUGUUCUGGAGAGCAUCUUUUGUUCCAAGAAUUGGAAAGUUUCCAUAUAACCGUGUGCCUAGAAUUGCCUUCAUGUUUUUGACAAAGGGGCCCAUACCUUUGGCCCCAUUGUGGGAAAUGUUCUUCAAUGGCCAUGAAGGACUUUACAACAUAUAUGUCCACCCUCAUCCUUCAUAUGUUGAGUCAUGGCCUCAAAAUUCUGUUUUCUAUGGAAGGAGAAUUCCAAGCAAGGUAGGUUAGUUUUGAACUUUUUUUGUGGAUAAAAAUGGUCAAUUCGAAUCAUGUAAUUUUUCAUGCGUAUAUAAAUUAAGACUGUUGUUAUUUGUACCAUAUUUACUGAUUACAUAGUUGAUUACCUCUCGAAUGUAGGCGGUUGAGUGGGGAAGUCCUACAAUGAUCGAUGGUGAGAGACGCCUGCUAGCAAGUGCCCUCCUUGACUUCACUAACGAGAGAUUUGUGCUACUAUCCGAGUCUUGCAUCCCAUUGUUCAACUUCACCACAAUAUACAGCUACCUCAUAAAUGCCAGUGAGAGCAAUAUAGGUUCAUACGAUGACCCGAGGAAGGUGGGUCGGGGCAGAUACAAUCCGAGAAUGUGGCCUGAAAUCAACAUAUCGGAUUGGCGCAAAGGCUCCCAAUGGUUCGAGGUCAGCCGGAAGCUGGCAGUUGAGAUCAUAUCAGACAACAAGUACUACCCCAUAUUCAAAGAGCAUUGCAGCCCUCCUUGCUACAUGGAUGAGCAUUACAUCCCAACCCUAGUGAACAUCAUUGGCCCUGAAGAAAACUCGAAUCGGAGCGUUACUUGGGUCGAUUGGUCCAAAAGUGGUCCUCACCCCGGAAGAUUUGGGAGGAAUGAUGUUUCAGAAGUAAUUUUGAAUCAGAUAAGAUUUGGUUCUAAUUGCAGUUGUAGUGGUAAUAGUAGUGCAAAUAGUACUACUACUUGUUCUAUGUGUUUUUUGUUCGCUAGGAAGUUCAUGGGAGACACUUUGCGGCCUCUCUUGCAAAUUGCACCCAUGUUGCUAGGUUCCUAGGUUCCAUUUCAUAAUUAUACCUUUGUAUGUGAAAUUCAUACGUAUUAAAGAGUAUAUCAUCAAACGUGUUGGUUUUGUAUAUCCAAAUAACAUUACUCUAUUUAUAUUAUUACAAAUUUGAUAAAUUAACAUGUAUCUAUCCAUCUUACGGAAUAUUUGAUGAAAAAAAUAUCAAUUUAUUUUUGUACAUUAGGCACUGAAGACCUACAUGCAUUUAUCUGUUGCAUAUUUUCUGUAAAUAUUGCGUUUUCUUGUAGGAACCAAUGAACUUGAAGUUCAGAAAAUUUGAACCCUAAGUUUUUGAAUAAGUGGCAUGAAAACCAGAAGUUUUUCUUAAAACAUUACAUCUAAGAAACUAACAGUUUUUUAUGAUAAUUUAAAUCAAUACAUGUCUAAUAAAACCGAAAUGUUCUACUCCUUAUGUAUGGAUUGCUAAAUUUUGUCUUCAUUGGACUAACCACACUUUUGUCCCUUUUUUUUUUUUACAGUUACAUGUUGAAUUUGAACAAACUUGGCUUUACUGCUUUGGAAGUCUCCGAAAGAAACUACCAAAAGUUGGUCCAAGAUGUGAAGCUCCAUUUUACUAUUAAGAGCCUUGAAGCUACCAUAGAAGCUGAGGAGAAUGUUUUGGUUGGCGAAGCUGACAAAGCAACAUCCAUGAUCUUCAUAUGAAAGCAUAUCAUGACGCACUACAAAUCGAGUACCUCGCAGAGGAGGAUUCACGAGCUUCAUGGAACGAUUUGGAGGAUUGCUUUGAUCACCAAGGAGAUAUAUUCUUGUAUGAAGUAAGACACGACUUGCAACAUUUACGCUUCCAAGACUUUAAGUAUGUGAAUGAAUGCAAUUUUGAAGUUUAUCGAAUCUAAUCACUCUUAAGUUCUGUAAAGUAGACUUAACUGAAUAGGAUCUCCUGGAGAAGACCUAUUCAAUCUUCCAUGUACCAAUAUUGUCUUGCAGCAACAAUAUUGGGCACAGAACUUCACUACAUUUUCGGGUUUGAUCUCUAUUUUACUUCUUGCUGAAAAGCUAAACUAGCUGUUGAUGAAAAAUCAUCAGGCUAGACCUAUUGGCUCGAUCGUUGUGCCUGAAGCACACAAUAGCAAGAAACAAUGCCUGAGUUGUUUCUUUAAGCUUGGUAGGCUUGGCUGUAAGCCGAAUGCCUAAGGUCAACAAUGAAGGCCCAUCUGAGGGAGGAAAAGAGCCCAAAAGCGUUGUCACCUUGCUCACAAGGCCUUGAACUUAAAGAAUAAAGGUAAGAGAACCAACCUCAUGGAUGCAAAUUGUGUUAUCAUUGUGGAGGCAAGGACCAUUGGUCCCGCAUUUGUUGAGCUCUCGCCAAGGUUGUAGCUGAGUAUCAUUCUCGUCGUCAUAAGUUUGAAUCAAACUUUGCUCAAGUGGUGGAACCCAAAACUAUGAAAAUGGAGGUUUUUGACUUUUAGAAACCAACUGUUCCAAUGAAAGAAUAGAUUCUUAGACAUUGGCUCACAUAUUGGCCGAAACAUCCCCUAUGUUUUGGAUUUAAGUUUUGGACAAUUUUCUUUAGGCCAUCUCUAACCAAAAGGGCCAUCGUCUAGAUUAUAGCCCUACAAGAAAUUAUUUUUUAAUGAACAGUGUCAGACCAUAUUUAUAUACCAUCUCCAACUGAGUGGGCCAAAUGGUCAUAGGUUAAACAUAGCUCGUUUUGACACAAAACCUAUCUCCAACCGAAUGAGGCUAUUUUUUAGCCCUGUAAAUAAUUUAUUAUUUUAAGUUUUUUCUUUAAUAUAUUGGUUAAUUGAAUUAAACUACCAUAUUAAAAUCAGGUUUUCAGACAUAUUUUGAGUAUCACUUGUCGCUAAAUGAAUAAGCCUCCAAAUUUCUUAUCUUUAUAUAAUCUCAAUAAUUUUUCGGAUAGGAUUUGGAGUGACACGUGUCGCUAAAGUGAGUAACUCUCCAUAUUUUUUUUGUUUAUGUAAUCUUAAUAAUUUUUCGGAUAUGAUUUUGAGUGCCAGGUGUUGAGAUGUAAUUGGUUAUGCAAAUUUUAGAUAGGAUUUUUAUUUACGUGACACUUCUUAUCUUCAGCUUCCAAUGUUACUAAAUUGGCUAGAUAUUGGGGCAGAAUUCACACACCUUCAUCUUUUCAAAUGGUAAAAAAGAUGUGAGAAAUUGUGUAAAAAUGGCUUAGGUAUUUAUACAAAAAAAAAAAUUAAAAUUAAAAUUAAAUUUUUUUAAAUUUCGUCAAAAAUUUUUUUCAAAUUCCAAUGGCUACGUGACGUCAGGAUGACGUCAUGUUACCAUUGGACUGGAUUGGGCCUACCCAAAUCUGGCUAGCUGGGUGGCUUUCUUUGGCCAGCCCACAUGCCUUGUGGCUGAUUUAUGGCCCAAUGGGUCCUACAAGCCUUUUGGUUCAACCUUAGGUUGGAGAUGAGUUUUGUGACAAAACGGGCUACAUUUUGGCCUACAUCCCUAUAAAUAGAUGUGAAAAAUAAAUUAAAACAAAAUCAACCCACAUCAAGCCCUAACACAUCUACGCCCACCACUUUCUGGUGGCUUUUUCACGAUGUCAGUGAAUCUUUUGUGCCAGCAUCUCCUCUCUGUCUCCUCCUCUUCCGUUUUACAUUGUUUCUUUUUGUUUUUUUUUUAUUAAAAGUUUCCAAAGAGAAAUUGUCAACCCUCCUUCAGGCCAUUGCAAUUAGUUGCAAUGUUGAAUACACGAAUUUGGUGGAAUGGAAUCCAAAUGCUUAAAAAAGGUUCAUGCUUUUUUACUUUGUGAAUGAGUUAAUAAUGAGUCUCACAUUGAUGAGAGGAAUGACUUUGCAAGGGCUUAUAAGUAAGUUGGGCUACUUCUCAUAUUGUCAAUUUAUUUUAUGGUGAAACCGUAACUUUCUUCAUAGUAUGUCCCAUAUGUGAAGCCAAAUGGUUACAUGCGUUGCACGUCAUCAUGUUGUGUUGUCUACGUGUUAUACUUGAAAAUUUGCCAUACGUGAGGGGGCAUGUUGAGAAUGAGUCCCAUCACACGUCAUCCUGUUGUGUUGUCUACGUGUUAUACUAGAAAAUUUACCACACGUGAGGGGGUAUGUUGAGAAUUAGUCAUACAAUUAAGGAAUGAAGGAUCUUGCAUGAACUUAUAAAUAAAUUAGGCUACUCCUCAUAUUGCCAAUUGAUUUUAUGGUGAAACAUUAACUUUCUUCAUAAUGAAAUAGCCCUUCUACUUCAUGAAUUGGCAUUUGGUCAUGAAUUGGCAUUUGGUGGAAUGGAAUGCAGAUAUGAGACUUACAAUCCUGUCGUACAAAACCGAUGACACGAGGAACCACGAUCUCCAGUUUGACGGAGAAGGGGUGGUGGAGGGGAAAUUUUUCAAUAUGACCGGAAUACGAGGUGAUAUAUCACGUAUUUUUAUAUAAGUGAUGAAAAAUUUUAAUUUUUAAGUUAUUAACUUUUUAACACACAUAUCCCACAAUUUAUAUAAUGACACGUGGUAUACCACUCGAAUUCCGAUCACAAUAAAAAAUUUCUCGUAGCGGAGGCAUCGAAAAGAAGGCGUUGAGAUAAGAGUUGAGAUAAGAGGGAGCCUUCAUGUUCUAUGAACGUUGUCCGAAGUCAAAGCUUGUGGAAGGCAAUUGUGGCUGCCAUGGAAGGCGGUGCGAUGCAAAAAGUGGUGUCGUUUAAUUUGAAGUUGCCAUGGGGUUUUUGACGAGGAUUAGAAUCCCAUAUUGGGUGUGGAAAGAAAUUUAUUUAUUUAAUAUUUCUUCAAUUUUAUUCAGGGGUGAUAUAGGAAUUUUAAAAAAAUAUCUUUUAAAUUGAGUGUGAAAAGAAGUUUAUUGGGUUAUAAUAAAAUUUCUUUUUUAUUCCGUUUCAUAAUUAUACGUUUGUUUACAAAAUUCUUUUGUAUUAGAAUCCAGAUAACAUUACUUUAUUUAUAUAUCACAACUGUAAUAAAUUAACAUGUAUCUAUCAUAUUACGUAAUAAUUAAAAUUAAUUUUUUUUUAAGGAAUGUGGUGGCUGCAAGUUAUGCCUGGUGAAUUUUAGCAUUCAUGUAGGGCAGCCAGCAAUGUUCAACAGUGGCAGCUCAGGCAGGCAUGACCUGGGAUUUUUUUUAAUAUAAUUAAUUUGCCUAAAAUAAGUAAUAUACCCCAUUAAUUAGAGUGACAAUUACCGUACAACACCCACGUGGCAUAAAAAUAAACAAACUCUCAUGUUACUUCAAAGGCUAGCCUACUCUUAUAUAAAAAUGUUAUUACAAGUUUACAACCUAUUUAGAGUGUGGAAAUAAUCGAUUGGUUCAAUGAAUUCCAACAUAAUAAUAUAUACCUCAACCUAAACUGUUUAAAGCUAAUAUUACUUACAAUUUAGAUGAAUCGAGGUGGUUAUUUUUGGACAGGAGAAACACUUUAUGUUUAGAUUUAGAGUUUAGAGCUCUCGUUGAUUGUUUUUAUUAUGCACUUCUGUUUUCUCACGUAAUUUAAAAGAAAUUAGUAUUAAUUAUAGCAACACACUAUGCUAUACAUGUAGCGUUAACUUGCGUACGAGAGUUUAGACCUAAAAAGACAAAGGAAACUGCAAGCCUUUUAGAGAAUAAAAAGUCAUUAACAAAAUUCAUGUUGAUGAUUUGUUUUCUGUUUUUCUAAGAUGUUACAUGGUGAAUUGUUCUUGGACCCUAUAUUUUAUUUGGCUUCAUCACUUUCUAUCCUUUAUUUAUUAUAAUUCAAAUAUAGAACUGGGGAGGGGCAGUGUCAUUCUUACUUUUUUUAUCAUUCAUUUCUUUUAAGGGAAUUUUAACGAAAAAUCAUAUUUUUACACUAAAAAAAUCAAUUAUGGUACUAUUCACUUUAUAUUUUUUUUUAUUAUCGUUAAAACUCAACUUUUUCAUUAGUUUUCAUUUCUUUCAAUGGCAAAAGAAAUUUUUUUUUAAUUGAGGGGUAUAUUUGGAAAUCAGUUCUUCCCUAUCUUGGAUUAUAAUAUAAGGAAAACUAAUGAAAAAAACUUGAAAACUUUUAGUUUUAACGAUAAGGACAAAAUAAAGAGUAAAAUGAAUAGUAUCAUGAUUGACUUUUUAUUGUAAACAUGUGGUUUUUUUUUAAAGUGAACAGUACCAAGAGCUUUUCGUUAAAGUUUCCAAUAAUAUAUGGUUAAAUUUCACCAAAUCUUCAAACUUCAAAGUUGUAUAAAACUUUAGAACACUUCCAUUUUUAAUCAGAUUUAUAUCCCACUUAAGACUUAUUUCUUACAUAACUCAAGGAAUCCAUACUUCUUACAACCCUUGUUGGAAAUUUUGAGUAGAAAUUUCUUUGUCCCACAUUGGUCAUUCCCAAAAGAUUUCAUCACUUUAUAAGGCUUUGGCCCUUAUAGAAAGUAAUUGGAGUAAUAGGCAUUGAAGAAUAAAAUUGGGCUCACCCUUGGGUUGAGCUUUGGGGUGUACUAAUUAAUUGGUAAUUAAUAUGGAAAUUGUUAAUCACUUUGGAGUGCUAAUAAUAGUUCCCAUUAAUAUAUAAUUAAUUAUCAAAAGAUGGGCCUUGAGGUUUUGAAAAUUAAUUUCUUUAGUUAAUUGUUUUUAAAUAAUUUCGAAUUUAAUUAAAUUAUUUUUUAUUUGAACAGACUCAUCUUUUCAGAUGAAGUCUGAAGUCAAUGAAAAAACACAGAGAACUCAGCACCCCAUCUAAAGAGAUGUCUCCCAACAGUCACAUCCCAUUUUCAUACUUGUUGCAAACAUGUAUAAUCCCACUAUAUAUACAUCAAUUUGCAUGACAUUUAAGACACAUAAAAUCAACAUUCUUCUUCUACAAUCACAAAUAUCCUUUAUCAAAGAACCACACAAAAAUUCGCCAGAAGUCAAGUUUUUUGAUGCUGGAAUUUUGAUUUGAUCGUUGAAUCCUAGUAAAGCAAAUGUCCGUAGAACUACAAGCACCGAGUAUGGGCGAAAUUUUUGUUUCAAGGACAUUGCAGUACGCAAGCCUCGAUUUUCAAUAUUUAUGUUUAAUAUUAUUUUAUUGUUCAUACACUGUUUAUUAUUAGCAUAUAUAAAUUUAUCACAGAUUGUUGACAUAUCUCCAACACCCACUUCUUUUACAUACACUGUCUUCCUCACCCACUAUACAACUUCAUAAACAUUUUUAUCCUAACUCAUGGUUUUUUUUUUUUUAAGAAAAAACCCAACUCAUGUUUUGUUGUUCCUCGUUUUUUUAGCAAGUCUUUUAUUACUAAAUCCUUCGAGAAAUUCGAUGUAUCUUGAACACCAACACGCAUUUUUUUAUUUACUUUUUAUGAAUUAAAAUUUAUCCUUGAUUAAUGAUGACGGUCCUUGUAAAUCUUAUUUGUAGUUUCCUUUUGAGUUAAUUUAAGGCUCCAUGACCCUGACCCUUCAUGUUAACAAAUAAAAAAAAUGAAAAAACUAGUGUGACGAGAUCAAUUUAAGAAUCUUUUAAAGAGAGGGGAGAGAGAGAGAGCAGCCCCAAUAGUUCUUUUUUUUUUUUUUUUUUUUUUCAAGAUUUACAACAGCCCCAAUAGUUCUUUGAAGCUUGCAAAUUUCAUUCAUUCCAUUUCAAAAACCAAGAACACUCCUCAUUCUUCAAAACCCUCUCCCAAAAAAAUGAUGAAUAAGCAUCAGCAACACCACCCACCACCUUCAUUUCCAAAGCACUUCCUCAAUGCCCAAAUCCACCUCCAUAAAAUCGUCUCAAGUUUUCUAAUCUUUGCUUUCGGUUUAGCACUAGGCGCUUCCCUCAGCAUCUACCUCAAAGAUUUCCCCUUCCAACUUUAUUCAACACAAAACAAAUACUCUCAUUUGUCAACAAAUAAUCUAACAUUUUCUUCUCCACCACCUCCACAAUCUCUCAAUAUCCCAACAAAUAAUCGAACAUCUUCUUCUCCACCACGACCACCACAAUCUCUCAAUAUCCCGACAAAUCAAACAAGAGCCAAAACCUCCGCCGCCAGCCCUGUACCACCAAUAGGGUUGAAAGAAUACACUAAGUCGCCGAAUAUUUUGCAUGAAAUGGACGACGAUGAGCUGUUGUGGAGAGCUUCUCUGGUGCCGCUACGGCGGGGUUUGCCAUUUAAACGGACUCCAAAAGUUGCAUUCAUGUUUCUGACGAGAGGGAGCCUGGCAAUGGCUCCUCUCUGGGAAAUGUUCUUCAAAGGACAUGAAGGGCUGUACUCCAUUUAUGUCCAUGCCAAUCCGGAUUUCAAUGACACCAUACCUGAAAACUCGGUUUUUUAUGGCAGGAGGGUUCCGAGUAAGGUCAGUUUAUCAUGUUACAAUCCUAAUUUUUCUUGAUUAAUUUUCAUCAAGCAUUUUUGUUACAAGUGUUUUUAUCUAAUUUACAGAAAAAAUUGGGAAUAUAUAUGAUUAACUUGUAGUAGUUCAAAGCAAUGAUGACUUUGCGUGUAUACAUAUAUAGCAAAUUGAAUUACGCCACACAAAGAGUAAUGCUAGAGAGACUGAAUUUGUAGAAUAAAUUUUGUAAACUAAAUGAUAUGGAAGUUGAUGAUGAUUAUUACUUCCCAAGCCAACCUUUAUGGGUGUUCUGUCUAGUUAACUGAUGGUAUGGAGUAGAAUGCUUUAUGCUAGCAGCUAGCUUCAUUAAUUUUUUUGUGUACGCAAUAUGUUCUCCUUUUUGUUGCAACAAUAUUCUACCCGUUGUAAAAUUGUUUGAGUUAAUUCACAUAAUGGAUUAUCCAUAGUUAAAUAUUAAAUUUGAGACCCCUUAUUUACAAGUGAAGAAUAAAAAAUCAUUAAACUAUAGUACUACACAUUAUUGCUUUAAUUUUGAUAUUCAACUUUUCUCCACAUUCAAAUUUGCAUAAGAAAGUGUUUUUUUUUCCUUCUUUUGGCUUUUACAGUAAAGCUUUACAACUAUUUUAAUUUUUAAAAUUUUUAUAUUUAGAUUUUAUACUACGCACUUAAUUACUUCUUUUCAUAUAAACUAGUAUUUGCCUACACAUUUUGUGUGUAUGAACACAUUUUUUUAGAAAAUGGGAAGGAGAGAGGGAGGGAGAGAGAGAGAGAGAGAGAAUGUGGGGAAUUGGGAGAUUUUUUUUUAAAUUAAAUUAAUUUUUUUUUAAUUUUUAAUUUUUAAUAUUGGAGGUAUUUUAAUAUCACAUGUAGGUGAAGUUUCAAUAACAAACAGUAAAAUUUAAACUUGUGAAAUUACAUUAUUGCCCAUCAUUUUUUUAUGUGAUAGAAGAUUAAUUUGUUUUUUCACUCUCUUUUGAUUGACAAAGAGAGUUUCAUUAAUUAGUAGAGAUUAGUUAGCCAUUUUCUAGACACCACCUUUUGGAUAACUAGUAAAAUCAAAUUGAUUUUUCUUGAGAAUUGAGGCCAUUGUUUGUAAAUGGAAAAGCCAUCAACCUUGCCUCAUAACAUGCCUCAUACAGUGGAGAACUUCAUGCCCAUGUUUUAUAUAUUAUUGGUCUGUAGAGUUGUUGCAUUACUUAAUUAUUCAUUUUGCAUAACAAGGCUUUGGAAGACCAAAUCAUCAUUUGUUUAUUUAAGUAUGUAUAUGUGUGAUUCUGCAUUAUGACAGGUUUGUCAAUAAAAAUCGGAGGCAGAUCCUCUCAAGACUUACACCUCCGGAGCCUAGAUUCACAUAAUUCUGGCCUUUAAAAUUUGAUCGUACAGCUAAAAUUUUUAUUAUUUUUUGAAAACUACAAUAAUUUUUGGCCGCAUGAUCAAAUUUAAAGAUCAAAAUUAUUUGAUCCUUGAACUCCGUAGAGGAUCUGCUCCCAUGAAAAUCUACCUUCCCUUUUUUUGGGUAAAGACGAUACGAUAGUAUAAAAAAUCUACCUUCCCUUAAUUACUUAAGCUUUUCUUCAGAAGUUAUUUAUAGUUUUAAAGGCACUGAAAAUAUUAAUAUUGAUAGUUGACAUUCUUUUCAAUGCAUCAUGUUUAAGGAAUGAUAUGUAUAUUAUCUAAGUUUCAGAAUACAUUAAACUUAAUAACUUAAUUCACUUAUAAGAUACACACACACACACACAUUAUAGAAUCUAAGCAGAUCUUCAUCUUUUAAUCCUUAUAAUAAUUGGAAUUACUGAUAUAGUGUCAAGAAAUGAUUUGACAGAAGAACAUGGGUAAAACCUGUCUAUAUGAGCUUUUCCCUGCGAUAUUUUUUGACAAAUUAAUCAUAUUCAACUGUGGAAGAAGUCGUGAAGACAAGAUGAACAAAUAACAAAUCAGUUUUGGGAAAUUAUUUGGUGGGGGUGAUUUAAUUUUUGGUUAAAAUAAUGCUAAUACAUGAACACUUUCUAGAUAACCAAAUGACACACCAGAUGUUUUUAUAAAGCCUGUUGAUAUAUAAAUUUCACAUUUCAGAAAUAUUAAUAAAUUUGGCAUAUGGAUUGAGUGGUGGACUCAAUUUUGUUGCAUCAUGCAUUGCUUGGAUUCUACUCCUUUUGUAACUAUCUGCAACAGAAUUCUAUUCAUUUUCAAGACCUUUCUAAAUUCCUUUCGUAAUGUUGUCUCUUUGUCAUGCAUGCAUGUGCAUUGUAUCAAAUUCAAGAAAGAAAGCAAAAGUGGCCCUUAGUUUCUUUCUUAGUUUCUUUUAUGUCCUUAGGAAGUACAUAAAAGUAAGUAUAUAGCAUAGUGUAACACAUCAUAUUCUAGAGAAAGGCAACCUAGCUAGGCUAACUAGUCCCUCUUAAUUAACAAGCAUAACAUAUUAGCAUAACAUGUGUCAUAUUUUCUUCCUGGAUGGAUGAGACAUGAUAGGUUAUCAGACUAUCAACAGUUGAUGUCGGACAUGUUAAGUUAUCAGAUUGUCAACUGUUGAUGAACAUGUUAAGUUAUUAGACCGUUAACUUUUGAAUCAAUGACUUAUAUAACUUUACGGAUUGUAUGACAAAACAUUUUCUCCAGUGUAAUGAUUAACUACUAACUCAAAUGGUUCAAUGUGCAGAAUGUGACAUGGGGUCAACCUAACAUGGUGCAAGCUGAGCGUCGCCUAUUAGCCAAUGCUUUGCUUGACUUCUCCAACCAACGUUUUGUGCUCCUCUCAGAGUCAUGCAUACCACUCUUUAACUUCAACAUAGUCUACAAUUAUCUCAUGGACUCAAACCAAACGUUCGUGGAGGCCUACGACCUUCCCGGCCCUGUCGGCCGAGACCGGUACAGGCACAAAAUGAGGCCUCAUAUCAUACUCGAUCAGUGGCGAAAAGGCUCACAGUGGUUCGAAGUGGACCGUGAGAUCGCGACCGCAAUGGUUUCGGAUGAAAAGUACUUCCCGUUAUUCACAAGGUAUUGCAAACCCCCAUGCUACUCCGAUGAGCACUACUUGCCCACAUAUGUAAGCAUCAAGUUUUGGAAGAAGAAUUCUAACAGGACGUUGACCUGGGUUGACUGGUCGAGGGGUGGGCCCCAUCCGUCUAAGUUUAUGAGAACAGAUGUAACGAUCGACUUCUUGAAGAAGCUGAGACAUGGAAGCAACUGUGAGUACAAUGGGAAGCCAACCAAUAUUUGCUUUUUGUUUGCAAGGAAGUUCUUGCCACACUCUUUAGAUAGGCUGUUGAGGUUUGCUCCAAAGAUCAUGAGAUUCAAUUGAUUUUUAGGGUUUAGAGGUUUUCUUUUCUUUUCUCAUCAUUCAUUUCUCUGUAAACUAAAAAGGCUUAUGGUUGUUUUUGUCAUUAGCUUUUGUGGCAAAUAAAAAAUAAAAAAUAAAAAAUAAAUGAAGGCCAAGCUCUAGAAAUUGUUUUCUUUACUUGUUGGGGUAAUUUGAGGUGUAUAAGGUUAAUUUUUCAAAAUGAUUGUGAUAUAGCGUGAUAUUUGUGACAUCCUCUUUUUCCUUUUGUGUAUCGUUGAGUAGAACACCACAUCUCAAAUAGAGAAAGACUUGCGUACAUUCUUUAGAACAUAACGUUUAAGAACAAUAGCACAAUGAUAUGUGGUAAAUUGAUUCUGUAAAAUUGUGUAACUGAAAGUGCAAAUGAUAGAUUAAAAAGUCAAUAAUUCCCUUACCUUUUGUAAUCGAGUAGGGUAGAAAUAAUUUUUUUUAACAAACAAUAUUAUCUACACUAAGGGGAUGUGGAGUGUGCUAAGCCUCACAAUGGGCUAGCAAUAAUGUGGUUUAAAGGCGAGAAUCGAAUUCAAGAUAUCUCACUUAUCAUUAUUCACGAAUGAACCCCAAAAAUGUAUGUAGAGUUAGGGCAAAUUAUCAACCGGUCCGUUUGCAUGUGAGGACGUAUUUAUUUAUUCCAAAUACAAGUGAUAGUAUUAUGUUAGUUUAGUGUGAGAAUGUUUGAAUUCGAGAUGCGGUGGGUUGAUGAUAUAUUUGUUAUUUACCAAGCCCUCCAUGGGCUGUGGCUCGACCCGGAUUUUGUUCAAAACCUUGACACCUUGCCAGGCCCAAGUCUGUAUGUGAAUAGAGGUUGGGUUGCUUAAGCUAUUUGGUUCAUCAGGCACUGCGGUGGAUCUGGUAGCUAUUUGGUGGUGGAUCUAGUGGCUGUUUGGCUGGAAUUUUAAUCUUUGACGGAAAUCGUUUUUGUGUUUUUUGUCAAAUCAGGGUUCGAUUUCUUGCCGGUUCAUACUACUUGUGUUCGAUCUUUGUAAAAUUUCUGGAAUUUCAUUCUUUGAAGGCGGUGAUUGUGUGUUGGUGAAUUUCUAGGGUACGAAGCCUCUAAGUAAUUGUUUGUGAUUCUUUCUAUUAAUCUGAGCAAUUCGAGCACGAAACUCCAUGUUAUUUGCAUUUUGUAUGCGAUGUGUAUAUCUGCGGUGAUCAUUUGUUGAAGAAUUGAAAUUUGAGUUUCUAUGAUGAGUUUUGUGGAUUGUUCUGAGUUUCUUGUUUGGCACGAAACAUGUUAGUGUUAAUUGUUGGCAUGAAGCUUGUUGAUUGUUCUGCAUUUCUUUUUGGCACGAAGCAUGUUGAUACUCAUUGUUGGCACGAAGCCAGUUUUUCAUCAAUUUCUUGAGCACGAAGCUAUCUGAAGAAGUAAAGUUCUCGGUGGUUUUUAGAUAUUAUAUGAAAUUUCUUGAAGUAUGGCGAUGAAUUCUAUCAAGAUUGACAGUUUAUUGGGAAUGUUAACUAUGAGACUACAAAUGACAAUUUUGUGAAGUGGUCUUUUCAAUUUCGAUCAGUUCUUGAAGGUUAUGACCUAUUUGAUCAUUUUGAUGGUUCUUCUGUGUGUCCACCGAAGUUUGUGUUUACUGAGGAGACUGGGAUUACUAUUGAAUUACUAAAGCUUAUAAGGAGUGGAUUAAAUAAGAUUAAGCUCUUGUUAGUUUUUUACUGGCCACACUUGGUGAUGAAGCAGUUGAGUAUGUUGUUGGUUGCAAAACUGCUCAUGAAGCCCGGACAAAUCUCCAAGAUAGAUAUGCUACUGUGUCUAGGGCUCGAAUUAAUCAUUUGAAGACAGAGUUUCACACUAUUAAGAAAGGUGCUAAUAGUGUAGAGAAGUAUAUGCUCAGACUCAAGGCUCUUAAAGAUCAAUUAAUUGCCAUUGGUGAAGUAGUAUCUGACAAUGAUCUAAUUGUAGUUGUUUUAGCUGGCUUACUUGCUGAGUUUAAUAUGAUUCGAACUGUGAUUGUAGCCUGUGAGACUCCAAUUUCCUUAAAGGAAUUUCAGGCACAAUUGUUGGCUGCUGAAAGAACUGCUGAAGAAUCUCACUCUACUUUAACUUUUCCAAUGUCAACAAUGUAUUGUCAUGGUGAAUAUUCUAAUGUUGCUCAACAUUCUCAAGGUUCUUCAUAAUAUUUCGAUGGAGGUUGUGGUUAUGUCGGUAAAAGUAGUGCUGAAUCUUCGACUAAUGGUUCAAGCCUCACUGGUGGGAUAAUUUCUCAAGCUCAAUUGCCUCAAUUUCAUCAACAAGGAAAUGGUAAAAAAGGUCGUACCCAGUGCACAAGGCUCCCGCUUUACGCAGGGUCUGGGAGAGGUGAAUGUCGGCUAGCCUUACCCCCAUUUAUAGAGAGGCUGCUCCCAAGUCUCGAACCCGAGACCUACCGCUCAUGGGCGAAGGCACUUGCCAUUGCACCAAGUGCGACCAUGGAAGAUUUAAUAAUAGACCAAGGUAUAAUGGUGGUAACAAUGGCAGAUUUUUUGGGAAUUCAACCAUGUCUUCUGGAAAUUUUGGUAAUAGUGGAGGUUCUAGUUCAAAAAGAGGAUCUAGUUGGCAGAAUUGGAAUGGCAACACUGGUUCUAAGUCUACUAUGAUUCCUGAAUGAUAGAUUUGUAACAAGCGCGGUCAUACUACACCAAACUAUUAUUGUAGGUAUUCUACAAGUUCUAACACUGCUCCUCAAGUUCCAAAGUGUCAACUAUGUGGGAAGUGAGGGCAUACUACUCUUAACUGCUACCAUAUGAGCAAUUAUGCUUAUCAGGGUGCUUAACCACCAUCUUCUAUCACUGCUCUUACUGCACAAACUCAGCCAAGUUUUGCUUCCUCUUCUCAACCAAACUGGGUGUUGGACACAGGUGUUACACACCACAUGACAGCAGAUUUGGAUAAUUUGACUCUGAUGGCUUUUUUUGAAGGAAAUGAAAGAAUCAUAAUGGGCAAUGGUGAAGGAUUUCUGGUUGCUAACACUGGUUUGGGUUCCAUUUUAACUCCUUAAAAAAUGUUAACUUUGAAAAUGGUUUUACAUGUUCCUCAAUUGGCUACAAGUCUAUUAUCUAUUUAUAGACUUUGUAAAGAUAACAAUUGUUAUGUUAUUCUUGAUGAGUUUGGUUUUUGGGUGCAGGACAAGGCAACAAAGAAAAUCAUCUUGAGAGGAAGGAGUAGUAGUAGUGGCUUGUAUUACAUUCUUCAACAACAUUUUUUCAAGUAUUCGCAGUUUUUGGACACUUUACCACAGGCUCUCUUGGGGCAGCUUGUGAAGACAUCUAUUUGUCAUCAUCGGCUUGGUGAUCCAACCAAUGAGGUUUAAUCCAAAAUGCUUAAGGAUUUUUCUAUUUCUGUUUGUUUAGAUGUACAUCCACAGAUAUACUCAUCAUGUAUUAUGGGCAAAAUGUCUAGACUUCCAUUUAGUUCUAGUACUACUAAGUCUAGUAUUCCAUUUGAAAAAGUGCAUACUGAUGUAUGGGGACCCUUACCCACUAUCUCUGUUGAAGGUUACAAAUACUAUGUAAUCUUUGUUGAUAAAUGCACAAGGUUUACUUGGAUCUUCCCACUUGUGAAUAAAUUUGAUGUAUAUGAUGUGUUUCUUAAAUUUCAUGCUCUUAUUGAGAAUCAAUUUAAGACAACCACUAAGUCAUUACAAACAGAUGAGGGAGGUGAAUAUAUGAGUGGAUUGUUUAAGAAAUUUCUGGAUUUACAUGGUAUUGUGCACCUUGUUUCAUGUCCAUAUACGCCCCAACAAAAUGGGUUAUCAGAAGGGAAGAAUAGGCAUAUUAUUGAGACUGUUGCGACUUUGGUCAGUGCUGCUUCUUUACCUCAGUAAUUUUGGUAUCAUGCUUGCAGUCAUGUAGUAUUUCUGAUGAAUCGAAUGCCAUGCCUAAAUUUGCAAAUAUCAUAUCCUUAUGCUAAGUUGUUUGGAAGGUCUCAUUCUUUAGUAAAUAUUAAUGUUUUUGGUAUGACUGUCUACCCUUACUUAAAACCUUAUAAUGCUAAUAAGCUGUAAGCUAGAAAUGAUGAAUGUGUAUUUUUAGGAUACUCAGUUGGUUAUAAAGGGGUGUUGUGUUACAAUAGAACUACAAGGAGGCUGUUGUUAUGUAAGCAUGUAAUACAUGAUGAAAGUAGAUUUCCCUUUAAGGCUCUUUGUCCUACAACCAUCAAUACAUCUAAUUCAUCUUUGGCCGAUUCCAAUUCCCAAAGAUUGUCAAUUAGAACAAUGCCUGUUGUUUUGCCAAGGCAUUCGAAUGAGUUCACAGAUCAGUUGUCCGAGAAUUAUGUGUGUAGUCAGAAUAUGGAAGUGCCAUCUUUGUCUUCUCAAAGUUUAAGUGUCUUUGCAAGUUCAGACAGUGUCUCAGUACAAACUACUACUCAAGCUACUACUCCACUAUCAACUCAUUCUUCCUCUCAAGUGUUGCCUAUCUAUACUCAUUCCCAAACUCAGGUAUCUUCUUCUUCCCCAGAGAUAUUGCAUACACCUACACAAUUUGAUACUCACAUCACUCAUUUAGAUAAUGAACAUGAUGUCUCAACCACUGUUAUACCUAGUACUGCAGUAUAUGUUUAUUCUGAACAUAAUAUGGUUACAAGGUUGAAAAGUGGUGUAAUACAGAGAAGGAAUUAUGCAGCUUAUCAUGUAUCGUUAUCUGAUAUACAGUUAUCUCCUUAGUCACAUAAUGAUGAUGUAGUCCUUUAUGGUUUCACUUCUGUAUUAGAUAUUCAUGAUUCUUUUGAGCCUUCUCAUUAUAAACAAGCAGUUGUAUCUGAGCAUUGGAGGAAUGCUAUGACAAAAGAGUUCAAUGCACUGCACAAACAAGGGACUUGGGAGUUUGUACCUUAUACAGAAAAUAAAAAUGUUAUAGGCAGCAAAUGGGUGUAUAAAAUCAAGAAAGAUCAAGAAUGGAAGAUUUCUAGGUACAAGGCUCGACUGGUUGCACAAGGGUAUAGUCAAGAACAAGGUUUGGACUAUGACGAAACUUUUAGUCCGGUUGUUCGACAUACUACAAUACAACUUGUUUUAUCUCUUAUUGCUAUGAAUAAAUGGGAUUUAAGGCAAUUAGACGUGAAAAUGCAUUUUUGCAUAGUGAAUUACAAAAAGAGGUGUUUAUGAAGCAACCUCAAGGGUUUCAAGAUCCUUGAUAUCCUAAUCAUGUUUGCAAACUUCUUAAAUCUUUGUAUGGUUUGAAACAGGCACCCCAAGCCUGGAAUGCAAAGUUUACUAGUUAUCUUCCUACUUUGGAGUUUCAGUCUUCUCACUCGGAUCCAAGCUUGUUUGUGAAGUUCAGUGGCAGAGAUGUGGUGAUUAUUCUUCUAUAUGCUAAUGAUAUUAUUAUUACUGGCUCAUGUUCCAAAGUUAGUGUAGCAAGUAAUUGAUGAUUUGGCCUUUGUGUUUGACAUGAAGGAUAUGGGUAGACUUACUUAUUUUUUGGGACUUCAAUUUAGUUACAGGGAGAAUGGGGAUAUUUUUAUUAGUCAGUCAAAAUAUGUUACUGAUCUCCUUACUAAGGCCGGUAUAGUUCAUUGUAGACCUUGUUUUACUCCUAGUAAACCUCAUACACAGUUAUUGAAGGAUGAAGGAGAACCAUUGUCUGAUCCAACAAUUUAUAGGAGUUUGGUUGGUGCUUUGCAAUAUUUGACCUUUACUAGGCCAAAUAUUACUUAUGCAGUCAAUUAUGCUUGUCAGUUUAUGAAUACUCCUACUAAGGUUCAUUUCUGUUUGGUGAAGCACAUACUCCAAUAUUUGAAGGGUACCUUGAAUUGUAAGAUUACUUAUUCAGCUACUGCCAAAUUGAAAUUGCUUGCUUAUAGUGAUGUUGAUUGGGCAGCUGACAUAAAUACUAGACGAUAAACCACUGGAUAUGUUAUUUUCUUGGGAUAUAAUCCUAUUUCUUGGCAGUCUAAGAAGUAAGGCAGUGUGUCUCGAAGUUCAACGGAGGCUAAAUAUAAUGUCUUGGCUAGUGCAGUUGCUGAUAUUGCUUCGAAUGGUUCUUAAGGAUCUUCAUAUGUUUUUUCCUUCUACUCCUUUGCUGCAUUGUGAUAAUUUGUCCACAUUAGCCUUAUGUUCUAAUCCAGUGUUUCACACUCGGAUUAAACACUUGGAUACUAAUUUUCAUUUCCUUCGUGAAAGAGUACAAAAAUGUGAUAUGGAGGUUCAGUACAUUCCUACAGAAGCUCAGGUUGCAGAUCUCUUAACGAAAGGAUUACACAGUCCUUUGUUUGUUCAUCAUUAUUCCAAUCUCAGACUGGGUUACCCCAUUUGAGAUUGAGGGGGAGUAUUAACAGAAGACACCUAAGCAUUUGGCUAAAUGGUACACCUUAGCAUUUGGUUAGCUUAGAAUUGUACACGUCAUCAUUUAGUUAGCUUAGUGGUUAAGUUGUCAAAAGGUAACAGCUGUAAUUCUAAGGCCAUAUAUAUAGUGGGAUAACCACUUGUAAUUGUAUUCAUUCAUUGCAAUAAAAUGCAACUUGUUCUCCAAGUUCUUUCUCUAUCUAAACCUCAUUCUCUCUCUUAUUCUUCAUUUUUGUUUCAUUGAUGGAUCAUUUGUUGGAUAUAUGUCAACAAUCUGUGAUAAUUUAUAUAUGCUAAUAAAUAAUAAAUGCAAUAGGAAUUAACAGAAUAUAAACUAGAAUACAAAUUAUAAAAACAGACAACUUGAAGAUCGAGGCUUGCGUACCAUAAUGUCCUUGAAACAGAAAUUUUGUCCCUACUCUGUGCUUGUAGUUCUACGGACGUCUGCUUCACUACGAUUCAACGAUCAAGUUAAAAUUCCAGCACCGGACAAUUUAACUUCUGGCGAAUUUAGUGUGGUUCUCUCAGUAAGAAGGUUUAGGAAUGUAGAAGAUGAAGUUGAUUAUUUUCUGUGUUCUAAAUGCCAUGCAGAUAGAUGUAUAUAUAGCAGAUGGAUGCCUGUUUGCAACAGGUAUGAGAAUGAGGUGUGACUGUUGGGAGACAUCUCUUCAGAGGGGUGCUUUUCUCUGUGUUAAAAAAGAACUCUUAGACUUCAUCUGAAAGGAUGAGUCUUUUCAUAAAAAAAUAAUAAUUAAAUUCGAAUUUAAUUAAAAAUAAUUAAUUAAAUCCGAAAAAUAAUUAAUUAAAUAAUUUAAUUAUUAGAGCCCGAGCGCAAGAGCCCCAAGGCCCAUCUUUUGAUAAUUAAUUAUAUAUUAAUUAUAUAUUAUUUAUAAUUAAUUAUAUAUUAAUUACCAAUUAAGUAAUACACCCAAAAGCCCAACCCCAAGGGUGAUCCCAAUUUUCUUCUCCAAGGCCUAUCUUCCAAUCACUUUCUAUAAGAGAUAAAACCUUAUAAAGUGUGGAGACCUUGUGGGAAUGGUCAAUGUGGGACAAACCCCACAUAAGAAAUUUCUAUUCAAAAUUUCCAACAUCAUUGAGUUCUUGAGAUCAUGAUUUCUCUCUAGACUCUAGUUAUCACAGUCAAACGCAGAAAAAAUAUUGCGUAUUUAGUCAAACACAGUACUUAAAGUGAGGAAUUACCUUGGUUCUUUAAGCAAACUUUCCUCGAAAUAUUCUUGGCUUGUAUGCAUAAGAAUUCAUUUUCCACGGCAGUCAAAUCAGAAUUUGAAAUUCGUGUGAGAUCAUUUAAGUUUAACAUGUAAACAACGCAUAUUGAGUGACGUGAGAACACGCGAACUGUUAGACUCAACAUGUAAAUUAACAUACUCUAAUAUUAAUAUAAAUUGACAAUAUAACAAAAAUUAACUUAAUUUUGUUAUAAACACAUGCAAGAUUACUUAAUUUUUCGACCUGGAUUUACUUUCAACUUUCAACAUCCAAAAGAUCUGAAAUUUUGCCCACCUAACUAAACAGUGACAAAGCUCCCUGGCAAAAGGAGCAAUACGUAUCUCUUUCCUUUCUUGUACUAUUUCACUUUUUGUCUUACCAUGGAGCAUUUGUUGUUAUAAGUUUAUAGUAUAGUAGUUAAUUAAUCAAAACGUCACACAAUUUAGAGGCCCUACAUGAAAAUGAAUUAGAUCCUUCUGAGAAAUGUAGUUAUUGACUAAUAGUAACAUCGAUGUACUUACAGUCAAGGAAGAAAAUAUCGGUGAUAUCGGAAAUAUCGGUAGUUCGAAAACACGGAAAUAUCGAUGGAAAUAUCGGUAAAAUAUCGAUAUCGAUAAAAAUUACAUGGAAACCACGAAAAUUGUAAGAAAAACUUGGAAAUUUUUAUUGAAACUUUGUAGGAUGUUUAUUUAGUCAAUUAUCUAUUAGUUUAUCACAAAAAAUUGGAAGGAAAUGCAUUGCAUGAUGGAUUUAACAUUAUCAAGUUGAUUAUAUAGCGAUCUGACAAACAUUAUGAGUGUAGAAAAUAUGUAGUAAUUAAUGAAAGAAGUCUAAACACACCAUAAUCAUUUAUAUAUAAUGAAUUAGUACAAUAUUUUACACUUUAGAACCACAUAGAGUUCCUAUGAGGUUCAAAUUUGUCACUAUCUUCAUCAUCUCUAUGUGUAGAAUGAGUGUAUUGUGAAGAGUAGUUAUCAAAUGAUAAAUCCCCAAAAAUAGUUUUGCAUGUAAUUGUUAAUAUGCCACCCAUAUGGAUCCGAGAUUGGUUGAGGUUGUCCAUAAGAAAAAUCAUUUGAAGAUUGAGGCUGGGAUUGAUUCCAUGAGUCGCUCGAUUCCAUCCCAACAGGAAUGGGAUAUGAAGGGUAGGGAAAUGGUUGGUUAUGAGGAUAACCAUAGUUACUACUUCCCAAUCCAACAGAGUCUGAAGUUCUAGAUAACGAGUCAUCUUCUUGACUUGACAAAAUCUUUUUGCCUCUUUCUCUGCGAGUAUAGUCCUUCCCUAUGGCACCAAUUCCUGGUCCUGCCCGCCUACUGCCAUGGUCAUCAUCCUGGGUUGCAUGCGUGAAGUUUGCCUCACCAGUGAAGGGGCUCAUAUAUCCGGGAGGUGGUGGUCCAUAAUAGUUUCCAUAUCCACCACCACUACCUCCAGCUCCACUAUGUCCUUCAUCAUUCCCACCUCCGGUGGUAGGUGAGUCUCCUGAUCUUGUACUAGAGCUAUCAUUAGUAUCAGCACGAUGUUGUGGUUGUGUAGGAUUGGAAAAAGGUGGAAUUCCAGUGUUGCUUGGUCUUGGCUGCAAAAGUUCUUCGAAAGAGUCAGCGCUGCUAGAUCCCACCUCCUCCUCUAAUACUCUUUCUACAUUUAUCCCUUCAUUACGUGCUUCUUCAGCAACUCUGGGAGCUGGGUUGCCUUCAUCAUCAUCUAAAUGAAGAGGUCUAAUCCAUUGAAAAAGUUGGUUACCCUCCGUAUCAUCAUCUUCACCAACAAUAUCAAACACAUCUAGUGGGUCACCACGGUCGACAUGAUCGAUUUCUGCUUCCUUAUCUCGAAUUUGAAGCUUCAUGUUGUAGUAGCAAUAAACUAAUUUUUCCAAGCUACUAUGAGCCAACUUAUUUCUUUGCUUUGUGUGGAUGAGUGCAAAGGUGCUCCAAUUUCUUUCACAAGCAGAUGAGGAAGCCGUUUGUGAUAAUACUUUUAUUGCUAACUUUCUCACAGUUGGUGCAUCGGUCCCAUACAUGAUCCACCAUUCAGCUACAAUGAAAAAUAAUGUUGAUAAGCCUAAUAACUCCAACAAAUUCUAUUAUAAACUUAUAGUGAAAUAUGUUUAUACUCACUAGGAGACAUAUUUGUUCGAGCAGCAACUGAUGUUGGUUCUCCAAAUGUUCUUCUUGCAUCUUUAAACCAUGUUAGCUGAAUACAAUAAAUUGUGUUAGUUUAAUCCAACAAAGUAAUUAUUAUAAUUUAAGUAAUUGUGUACCUCAUUUCCAAAUUGGCCAACUGCUGGUGAUGCAGGGUCUAAUUUUAUGUAUACAUUAUGUACAGCACGUAUAAGGUUACCAUCAUCUCCAACACCGGGUCUUAUAUUGGUAUCGGGGAUUCAAAUAAUAUGCUGUUCAAAGAAACACAUACUCUAAUAAGAUAAAUAAUACUUAUGCAACUAAAGAAAUGAAUUGCAAAUUAUGACAUAAAUUUAUACCUGCUGCAUGCAAAUCGUGGUAUAAUGUUUUAUACCAUCGGUCUUCAAUUAUUUUUACGACCCACCUUGCACCAUGUUUUCUUUCCAAUUCAUCCUUCACUACACGCAUCAACUCAUAUACAGCCCCCAUAGUAGGAUACACUUCUGUGUCAACGAUCCGUAAAACUUUGUAAAGAGGUUCAAACACUUGACACACAUGUUCUGUUUGACUCCAAAAAGCAUGAUCAAGCACUAUACUUUCCACCAUACGACCUGUAUUUGAGCGGCUGAAAUUGUGGUUGGCCCAAUCGUCACUAGUGAAUAGUUGCUUCAACCCUGCUUUCUUCUUGAGUAGGCUGUUUAAUGCAAUAUAGUUGGUGGCGAAUCGAGUGGAAGUUGGACGAAUAAUUUCUCCUCUGCAAAAUUCACGCAUCUUUGCCAACAACCAACCGUGAUUGUAAAUAUAAUUAGUGAUCGUUCUAGCUCUUUUGAUCACAGUAGCAACAUUCUCUCUCUUCCCCAUUGCCUCAAACAUAAGAUCAAUACAAUGUGCUGCACAUGAUGUCCAAAACACAUUAUGAUGCUUCAUUAACUUUUUUCCAGCUUUGACAAAUGCAGAACCGUUGUCGGUCACGACUUGGACAACAUUAUGCUCUCCCACCUCCAUGAUUACAUCCCUCAAUAAUUUGUAAAUAUACUUGUAAUUCUUUAUAUGGUCUGAAGCAUCAACAGACUUCAGAAAAAUUGUCUUGCCCUUGGAGUAUACCAUGAAGUUGAUGAUAGAUAAUCUGGUCGGGCCGGUCCAUCCGUCACACAUGAUUGUGCAACCAUUAGUUUCCCACUUUGACCUCAACUUGUUAACAUACUCGCCAAUGUCUUUAUACUCCAUAUCCAAAUAUUUGUUUCUUAUCUCAUAGGGAGUGGGAGGUUGUACUCCAACACCGGCCUGUUGACAUCCCACUACCAUAUUUUUGAAAUGAUGUGAUGAAGCCUUCGCAGCAGGGACAUUUUCAUAGAUAAAGAACUUGCUAAUUAGACGCCCCAUUCCCUCCUUCACAUUACCUCCCUUGAAAUAACUCCAAACACACUCUUUUGACGUGCGUUGGAUGACUUAUAUAAACUUGGGGCUAUUGGUGGUGUUGGUUGUGAUUCUCUAAGACUGCCUCCCCGUCUCAUUUGUGCACCACCACUUGUCCCGGAACCUUGUCCCCUAUUAGGAAUUUUAUGAAGGUGUUCUCUUUCCCAUGCUGACUGUUUGGAGGCACGUAAUGCUUGUUUCAAACUGCGUCGUUCUUCAGGUCCCAUGUCAUCAUCACAUUCGUCCUCAUCGUCAUCCUCAUCACUGUCAACCGCUUGGCCAUAGACUUCUCCCCGUAGCCCAGCUCGAAUAUUUUCCAUUCCUUGUGUCAUCUUUUCCUUCUGCUGUUUUUUAUUUUUUAAUAAUGUGCUGAUGAAUGCCUUCACUUCUGGGGGGACAUUAUCGCAUCGUUGGACAUUUUUUGAUGGAUCUAAUCCACUAAGAUGAUACUUCAGUCGUGUCACUCCGCCACUCUUCAUUACCCGACCACAAUAUUUGCAAAUUGUGCCAUGUUUGUUUCCGUCUAUUGGGUCUCCAUGUUCCCAAGCUGGAUCACGUUUACUUGACAUCUUAAACGUACCUAUAUUUAUUUUUCAUUAAAAUUUAGACAAUUAUUUUUUGAUAAAAAUAAGAGAACCUAAAUAAUAAAGUUAUUCUACAGAAGAAUUAAAUACAAAGUAAAGAAAAUGAUUGUAAAAAGUUAAGUAAUUAUACAAAUAAUAUGGAAUAAUAAAACCUAAUAUUAAUGAAUAAUAAUCCAAUUUGAUAAUAAUUCAAUUUAAUGAAUAAUAAUCCAAUUUGAUAAAAAAAAAUCCUAAUAUAAAACAUGGUGAUGAAUAAUAAUCCAAUUUGAUAAUAAUCCAAUUUAAUGAAUAAUCCACCAAUUUGAUAAAAAAAUUAUCCUAAAUUAAAACAUGGUGAUGAAUCAUAAUCCAAUUUGAUAAUAAUAAUCCAAUUUGAUAAUAAUCCAAUUUAAUGAAUAAUCCACCAAUUUGAUAAAAAAAUUAUCCUAAAUUAAAACAUGGUGAUGAAUAAUAAUCCAAUUUGAUAAUAAUCCAAUUUAAUGAAUAAUCCACCAAUUUGAUAAAAAAAUUAUCCUAAUAUAAAACAUGGUGAUGAAUAAUAAUCCAAUUUGAUAAUAAUCCAAUUUAAUGAAUAAUCCACCAAUUUGAUAAAAAAAAUUAUCCUAAAUUAAAACAUGGUGAUGAAUCAUAAUCCAAUUUGAUAAUAAUAAAUCCAAUUUGAUAAUAAUCCAAUUUAAUGAAUAAUCCACCAAUUUGAUAAAAAAAUUAUCCUAAAUUAAAACAUGGUGAUGAAUAAUAAUCCAAUUUGAUAAUAAUCCAAUUUAAUGAAUAAUCCACCAAUUUGAUAAAAAAAUUAUCCUAAUAUAAAACAUGGUGAUGAAUAAUAAUCCAAUUUGAUAAUAAUCCAAUUUAAUGAAUAAUCCACCAAUUUGAUAAAAAAAUUAUCCUAAAUUAAAACAUGGUGAUGAAUCAUAAUCCAAUUUGAUAAUAAUAAUCCAAUUUGAUAAUAAUCCAAUUUAAUGAAUAAUCCCACCAAUUUGAUAAAAAAAUUAUCCUAAAUUAAAACAUGGUGAUGAAUAAUAAUCCAAUUUGAAUAAUAAUCCAAUUUAAUGAAUAAUCCACCAAUUUGAUAAAAAAAAAUUAUCCUAAUAUAAAACAUGGUGAUGAAUAAUAAUCCAAUUUGAUAAUAAUCCAAUUUAAUGAAUAAUCCACCAAUUUGAUAAAAAAAUUAUCCUAAAUUAAAACAUGGUGAUGAAUAAUAAUCCAAUUUGAUAAUAAUCCAAUUUAAUGAAUAAUCCACCAAUUUGAUAAAAAAAUUAUCCUAAUAUAAAACAUGGUGAUGAAUAAUAAUCCAAUUUGAUAAUAAUCCAAUUUAAUGAAUAAUCCACCAAUUUGAUAAAAAAAUUAUCCUAAUAUAAAAGAAUAAUAAUCCAAUUUGAUAAUAAAAAAACCUAAUAUAAAAGAAUAAUAAUCCAAUUUGAUAAUAAAAAAAUCUAAUAUUAAAGAAUAAUAAUCCAAGUUGAUAAUAAAAAAACCUAAUAUUAAUGAAUAAUAAUCCAAUUUGAUAAUGAAGAUGGUAAGGGAAAUAAAAUAAUAAAUAAUAUUAAACAUAUUAAAAUUAUCCUAGGGAAUAAUUAUACAACAUUACUUAAUUACUUAAAACAAUUAAUAUUAACAUUACUUAAUUACUUACAAAAAUUAACAUGCAAGUAUUAAUUACUUAAAAAGAUUCACAUACGAGUCCACACAAAUUUAUUUGUUGUUGUAUAAAUUACAAUAAUAUAAAUUUAAGUUUGUAAACUUACCUUAAAUAUUGAAGCCUUUGUGUUCAAGCUUUGGAAUGGAUCUGGAAUGACUUUGAAAAUGGUAAGGAAAAUAAAAUAAUAAAUAACAUUAAACAUAUUAAAAUUAUCCUAGGGAAUAAUUAUACAACAUUACUUAAUUACUUAAAACAAUUAAUAUUAACAUUACUUAAUUACUUACAAAAAUUAACAUAAUUAACAUGCAAGUAAUUACUUAAAAAAAUUAACAUACGAGUGCACACAAAUUUAUUUGUUUUUGUAUAAAUUACAAUAAUAUAAAUUUAAGUUUGUAAACUUACCUUAAAUAUGGAAGCCUUUGUGUUGCUUGGCGUUGGAAAGGAUCUGGAAUGGUUUUGAAAAUGGUAUGGGAAGAAGAAUGUAAGUUAAAAUUCGGUGAAUGCCUCUGAUGAUGAAAGAAUGUAAGUAUAUAACAGACAUUGACACUGUUUUACAUGUGAAAGACAUUGACACUGUUUUGCAUAUGAAAGACUGUCACACGCUUUCAUUAUUAAAGCAGUAGUAUUUGUUGUGCAUGUUCUGAAAUUGCAAAAAGUUCUUUGGAUUAUUGUAUCAGAGAGGUAGACAUAGGUUUGGAAUGAUUUGGUUUUCAAUAAUUUGGAGCAUUGGAUGCUUUUUUUUUCUAACAUGCCAUCACUCAGACAGUAAAAAAAGACUGAAUAACUCACACUCCACCACACACACACUUCGAGACCCCCCCACCACACCACACACACACACCACACACGUACUACCCUAUUCCCGAAUCCUCUCAGUCUCGAUCUUUCAUUUCCCACUCCACUACCCUAUUCCCGAAUCCUCUCAGUCUCUCUCUUCUCUCUUCUCUCUCUGAGGUCGGUCUGAGCCUUCGUUCUCACCGAGAAGUUCUCAGUCUUCUCCCUCCCUUCCCCCUUCUCCACUUCUUCCACACACACACACAGAGACAUCAUCACCGAGAAGUUCUCAGUCCUCGUCCGUGUCUCCGUGUCUCCGUGUCUCCCUGUCUCCCUCUGCUCCUCCCAUCUCACCCGCCCUAAACCCAGCCGUCGACACCACUCCUUAACCGUCUGUGUCUCCAUGUCUCCCUGUCUCCCUCUGUCUCCGUAGUCCAAGCCGUCGACACCACUGAGGACCACGAACUUGUCCCAGCCGUCUUGGAUUCGUGAGGAAGACGAUGUUCCAGGCUCCUACUUCUCUUCUUCCCCUCUAUUACUUUAAAUUUUUGUAAAGAUUUCAAUUUUUCUGCAUGUUGCACACCUUUGUUGUACUGAAAUUGAUUUUAGGGAUUUAGGAAUUAGGGUUCUAUUUUUGUACAGAUUGCGAUUUAUCUGCAUGUUGCUUGAUUUUUGUACUGAAAUAGAUUUUAGGGAUUUAGGAAUUAGGGAUUCAGUUCAGUUGCUUUGAAUCCGAAUUUGGGGAUUUAGGGAUCGGUUCAUUUGCUUUGAUUUUUGUACUCAAAUCGUUCUUCUCGGCUUGUAAACAUGUUGAUUUUUGUAAUGAAAUCGUUCUUGUCGGAAUCCUGUAUUGUAGAUUCAGUUCAUUAGGCUGGAAAUUAGCAUUUGGGGAUUUAGGGUUUCGGAUUAUUUGCUCCGGCCGUGUUCUCCGACGAGUCCAUACCAAAUAUCGCGAUAGUUUCGAAAAUAUCGCGAUAUUAUCGAUAAUAUCGAUAAUAUCGCGAUAUUAUGCCGAAAACUAGUUGGAUAGUUACUAAAAUAUCGGGGUCCCCUAAAAACGAUAAUAUCGGCGAUAUUUCGCCGAUAUUAUCGAUAUUUUCUUCUGUGCUUACAGUACACGGCUAUCUGGCCGCCCAAUAUUUCCACAUAUAAAUUAAUUUUAAAUUUGUGAUAUAGACAUGUACAUUAUCGUAUAAAUUUCGUGUCUUACAACAGAUAUUCAAUGCAUUCAUCAUAAAUUUCGUGUGUUACAACAGAUAUUUAAUUCAUUCAUCAUAUUACACUGACGUCAGGUAGGUCUGACAAAUAGGUCGUGUCUAUCGUGUUUGUGUUAUUUUCGUGUAACACCUGUUAUCUUAACGGGUCGUGUCGUGUCACACCUGUUAUCUUAACAGGUCCUUAACAGGUUGGGUCACUCUACCCGUGUCGUUUUCAUGUAACACAUGUUAUCUUAACGGAUCGUGUCGUGUCACACCUGUUAUCUUAACAGGUCCUUAACAGGUCGGGGUCAUUUUACCUAACGGGUAAAGUGACCUAACAUGUUAUGAUCCGUUAUGACCCGUUAAGAAAACUAUAUUUUUCUUCUUAAAUUUGCACAUACCACACAUUACCACAUAAAUAUUACUUCAAAACAUUAAAACAUAUUUAUCAUUUAAGUACUACAUCUACACUCGAAAAUAAGAGCCUAAUGAAAAAGACAUCCAUACACUACUAGUCAAUUUUUUAAAUUUAAUUUAAUACAUAGAUUAACUAACACUUAAGAGUUUAUUCAUAUUUUCAUUAAGUAUAACAAAAAAUUUUGUGGUAUCCACUAGUGUAAAUAUUUUAAAUUGAAGAUCGAGUUCAUUCAUUGUAUUCAUAUAGGGUCAAGGAGUGUAGUUGUAAAAAAAUCAUCAAAAUCAGAUUUAAAAUAACCAUUAAAUCAUGAUUUUUCCUUGAUAACCGUUGAAAAGUUUUGUCUUGUUACUUGAUCUCUGAAUGUUUGUUUUUUGCGAUUAUUGGCGUAUGCGAUCUCGAAGCAUAUACAAAUAAGUUUGACGGUUAGAUUGUUGAAAUUAGUUUCGUAGAACGCGUAUCCUAUCAAAACGAUAAAUUUAUUAACACUUAGAGUUUAUUUAUACUUUCAUUAAGUAUAACAUAAGAUUUUGUGGUAUCCACUUGUGUAAAUAUUUUUAAUUGAAGAUUGAAUUCAUUCAUUGUAUUCAUAUAGGGUCAAUGAGUGUAGUUGUAAAAAAUCAUCAAAAUCGGAGUAAAAAUAACCUUUAAAUAGUGAUUUUUUGUUUAUAAUUGUCGAAAAGUUUUGUCCCGUUACUUGAUCUCUGAAUGUUUGUUUUUUGCGAUUUUUGGCGUAUGCGAUCUCGAAUCAUAUACAAACAAGUUUAACGGUUGGAUUGUUGAAAUUAGUUUUGUAGAAUGCGUAUCUCAUCAUAACGAUAGAUUCACUAACACUUAAGAGUUUAUUUGUACUUUUAUUAAGUAUAACAUAAGAUUUUGUGGUAUCCACUUGUGUAAAUAUUUUAAAUUGAAGAUCGAAUUCAUUCAUUGUAUUCAUAUAAGGUCAAGGAGUGUAGACAUAAAAAAUCAUCAAAAUCAAAGUUAAAAUAACCGUUAAAUCGUGAUUUUUUGUUUAUAACCAUCGAAAAGUUUUGUCUCGUUACUUGAUCUCUAAAUGUUUGUUUUUUUUCGAUUUUUGGCAUAUGCGAUCUCGAAGCAUGUACAAACAAGUUUGACGGUUGGAUCGUUGAAAUUAGUUUCGUAGAAUGCGUAUCUCAUCAAAACGAUAGAUUCACUAACACUUUUAUUUAUACUUUCAUUAAGUAUAACAUAAUAUUUUGUGGUAUCCACUUGUGUAAAUAUUUUAAAUUGAAGAUCAAAUUCAUUCAUUGUAUUCAUAUAGGGUCAAGGAGUGUAGCUGUAAAAAAUCAUCAAAAUCGGAGUUAAAAUAAUCGUUAAAUUGUGAUUUUUUUUGUUUUAUAACUGUCAAAAAGUUUUGUCCCGUUACUUGAUCUUUGAAUGUUUUUUUUUUCCAUUUUUAGCAUAUGAAAUCUCGAAGCAAUUACAAACAAGCUUGACGGUUGGAUCGUUGAAAUUAGUUUCGUAUGAUGCGUAUCCCAUAAAAAUGAUAGAUUCACUAACACUUAGAGUUUAUUUAUACUUUCAUUAAGUAAAACAUAAGAUUUUGUGGUAUCCAUUAGUGUAAAUAUUUUAAAUUGAAGAUCGAAAUCAUUCAUUGUAUUCAUAUAGGAUCAAGGAGUGUAACUAUAAAACAUAAUCAAAAUCGGAGUUAAAAUAAUCGUUAAAUCAUGAUUUUUUGUUUUAUAACCGUCGAAAAGUUUUGUCCCAUUACUUGAUCUCUAAAUGUUUGUUUUUUGCGAUUUUUUGCUGAUAUGAUCUUGAAGCAUAUACAAACAAAUUUGACGAUUAGAUCGUUGAAAUUAGUUUCGUAGAAUUUGUAUCCCAUCAAAUUCAAUGGUGUAUGUAUAUAUAUAUAUAUAUAUAUUAAGUAGGUUUAAAUUUAUUUAUUUUGUACGUAUAAGUUUAUAACACUUGAAAAAUUAAAUGCUAUGUAUAUUUAAGCCUAUCCAAUGGUCACCAAUUUUUAAAAUUUAAUUUAAUAUAUAUAUAUAUAUAUAUAUAUAAUAAUUAUAGUUUUUUAGGGGUAUAAAAUUGUUAAAUUAAUAUAUAUAUAUAUAUAUAAUUAUUAUAGUAUUUUUUUAGGGUUAUAAAAUUAUAAAAUUUAAAUAUUUUGCUUAUUGUGUAUCGUGUUACCCACGUGUAUACCCGAACCAACCCGUCAUCUUAACAGGUGCUUAUCGGGUUACCCGAUAACGAUCCGAAUCAUUAUAGUGUCGACCCGAACACCUGUUAAUUUCGUAUCGUGUCGGGUUAUCGAGUCGUGUCAGGAAUUGCUAAGCCUAGCGUUAAGAUGACAUCAUGUUACCAUUGGAUUGGAUUGCGCCUACCCAAAUCUGGCUGGCUUUCUUUGGCCAACCUGCAAUCCUUGUGGCUGAUUUAUGGUCCAGUGGGUCCUGCAAGCCUUUUGGCCCAACCUUCGGUUAGAGACGAAUUUUGUGUCAAACGGGCUACGUUUUGGCCUAUAUCCCUAUAAAUAAAUGUGAAAAAUAAAUUAAAACAAAAUCAACCCAUAUCAAGCCCUAACAUAUCUACGCCCACCACUUUCUCGUGGCUUCUUCACAAUGUUGGUGAAUCUUUUGUGCCGAUAUCUCUUCUCCGUCUCUUCCUCAUUCAGGCCAUUGCAAUUAGUUGCAAUGUUGAAUACACAAAUUUGGUGGAAUGAAAUCCAAAUGAUUAAAAAAAGUUCAGGCCUUUUUAUUUCAUAAAUGGGUUGAGUAUGAGUCCCACAUUGAUGUGAUGAUAGACUUUGCAUGAGCUUAUAAGUAAGUUUGGCUACUGCUCAUAUUGUCAAUUGGUUUUAUGGUGGAACCUCAACUUUUUUCAUAGUAUCAGAGCAGGUUAUCCCACGUGUGAAGCCAAAUGCCCACACGCGCUGCACGUCAUCCUGUUGUGUUGUCCACGUGUUAGACUUGAAAAUUCGCCACACGUGAGGAGGCGCGUUGAGAAUGAGUCCCACAUUGAUGGGAUGAAGAACCUUGCAUGGACUUAUAAGUAGGUUAGACUACUUCUCAUAUUGUCAAUUGGUUUUAUAGUGGAACCUUAACUUUUUUCAGAAUGAAAUAGCCCUUCUACUUCAUGAAUUGGCAUUUGGUGGAAUGGAAUGCAGAUAUGAGGCUUACAAAAUUUCCCUGUCGUACAAAACCGACGACACGAGGAACCACGAUCGCCAGUCUGAAGGAGAAGGGGUGGCGAAGGCGUCAAAAAGACAGCGUUGAGUUAAGAGGGAGCCUUCAUGUCCUAUGAACUUUGUUCGAAGUCAAAGAUUGUGGAAGGCAAUUGUGGCUGCCAUGGAAGGCGGUGAGAAGCAAAAUGUGGUGUCGUUUAAUUUGAAGUUGCCAUGUGGUUUUAUAAAACUUUAAAACACUUCCAUUUUUUAAUCAAAUUUAUAUCCCACUUUAAGACUUAAUUUCUUGCAUGACUCGAGGAAUCCAUAUUUCAUACAACCCCCUUCGUUUACAUACAUUGUCUUCCCCGCCUACUAUACUACUUCAUUAAUAUUUGGGUAAAUUACAGUUUACCACCUCAGGUUUGAAGUCGAUUGCAACUUCAUACAAUAUCUUUAAAACAUUUUAUUUUCAUACCUCAAUUACUAUUAUAUUUCAAUAUAAUGCAUCUGUUACAUUUUCCAUCCAUUGAUCCAUUAAGAGCUGAUGUGGUUGCCAUAUUUGUGUCACAUGGCUGCCAAAUUUGUAACACAUGCCAAAAAAAAUAAUUUUUUAUUCAUUUCAAAUAUUAUAAUAAUUUACCCAAUUAAAAAAUAAAUAAACUGCAAACCCAGAAACCCUUCUUCCCUUGACCCACCUCCCUCUCCUCCAUUCUCUUCCGGUGCGCUGUCCAGCAACGUCUCCCCCUGCGGCAACCGGUACUAACAUGAUAGCCAGGACCACAUUCCGCCUUACGAACGGGUGGCAGUGCUCCAAAUUGGCGAGAAUUGAGGGGAUAAGUAGCUCGAUGAUCUCGAACUCAUUCAAGCGGCAGAGAAACCAGAGGUUGUUGCAGAGGUUCUGGCAGAUGAGGAUCAUCUCCGAUAGGACCUUCCCCUUGGAGUUAGUCUUGUCAAUGAUCUCGAGGUAGAGGAGGAGGAGCUUCUGGACAGUGUGGUCCUCGGAGGGGAGAACGUAAUGGAUGAUGGUGAUGAAGAUGUGAGGGAUGGUGUCGCCGUUGAGGAAGAGCAUGAUGGCCUGGGAUAAAGAGGUGGGUGAUGAUCUCGGCGGAUCCGAAACGGGGAAAGUGGGAUCUGAAUUGGAGACAUGUGGAGGAUGAGGAGAUUUGGGCGUUUGUUUGGAUGAGAUGGGGUGGGUUUUUGGAUGGGACGAGAGGUGAAGAGAAUGGAGGUGAGGGAGGUGAGGUGGGGUGGGGGAUUGUGGGGAAGGUGGAGGUGGGGUGGGAUGGGGUGUUUAGGUUGCAGGGAAUGGGGAGGGCUCGGGGGAGGAAGGGUUUUUGGGUUUUUAGUUUUUAUUUUUUAUUUUUUAAUUGGGUAAAUUAUUAUAAUAUUUUUUAUGAAUAAAAAAUUAUUAUUUUUGCCACGUGCCAUAAAUGUGGCAGCCACGUUAACUCUUAACAGAUCAAUGGAUGGAAAAUGUAACAGAUGUAUUAUAUUGAAAUAAAAUAGUACUUGAGGUAUGAAAAUAAAAUGUUUUAAAGAUAUUGUAUAAGAUUACAAUAGACCCCAAACCUAAGGUGGUAAAGUGUAAUUUACCCUUAACAUUUUUAUCCCAACCAAGGUCUAAAAUGUCAAUAUUAUUGGCGAUUCGUUUUUGUGAGAGAGCGAUUUUUGACACUUAUCCACCUAAUUAUCGUCAAAAUAUCGUGAUAUUAUCGAUAAUAUCGCUCCACCUUCCUAACAGGCCUAAGGCCCGAGGGUUAUGGGAAACGGCCUGAAAGGCCUGCGCUCGUCAUGAACCAACAUGGAAGAACAGAGAAGAACGCCGGAGCUUCUACAGCUCCAGUCGACUGCAAACUACCACCUUAGACCCCGAUCUAGGUACCAAACGAAAGCACAAGGCAAGAUGAGUGCAUUUAUACCUUCUGUUUGUCAUGAAACGACCUGUGGUGGUCGGAAAACCUCUCGACACCCACGGCCUUGCCGGAGAUGGGUGUGCCUAUUCCCAAGCCGAUUUCGUCCUAAAAACCUAACCGGAGAAAUUCAAGAAACUCAUCGGAGGGUUUCUGCGUUCAUCGAGUUGUAGAGACGAGAAUGAGAGGGAGAAAUACGAGGUUGCUGAUGACGAUGGGUGUCUUCCUCGAGCAGGUACGAUGGUGUGCGUGUGUGUAUAUGGGUCUCGGUGCAGAAAGAAAGGAGAGAGAUGAGAGUUUUGAGAGAGAGAGAGAUAGAGAAUGCAAAAAAGAAAGAAGAAGAAAGAAGGGGUUACAAAAAGAUAAGAAUAAGGAUUGUUGGGGUGCUGCCACGUGGCAGUUUGAGAGAGAAGAGAAUCUUAAGUGUAGAUCCGGAUUGGGUAAAGGAAAUUAGGACUAAAUUGAUAGAUUCCAUAAAUAUUUGGGGAAAUACGGGCAAUUUGAGAGAAAAUAGAAUCUUAAGUUUAUGACUAACUAUGCACAUGGGUAAACUAUCAUUUAACCCCUAAACUAUUGCUGAUAACUAAUUCAUUAUAUAUAAAUGAUUAUGGUGUGUUUAAACAUCUUUCAUUAAUUACUACAUAUUUUCUACACUCACAAUGUUUGCCAGCUCGCUAUAUAAUCAACUUAAAUCAGAUAAAUCCAUAAUGCAAUGCAUUUCCUUCCAAUUUUUUGUGAUAAACUAAUAGAUAAUUGACUAAAUAAACAUCCUGCAAAGUUUCAAAAAUUUCCAAGUUUUUCUUACAAUUUUCGUCGUUUUUAUUUAAUUUUUAUCGAUAUCGAUAAUAUCCCGAUAUUUCUAUCGAAAUUUCCGUGUUUUUAGAUUACCGAUAUUUCCGAUAUCAUCGAUAUUUUAUACAUUGAUCCAAACUCAUGGUUUUUUAAGAAAAAACCCAACUCAUGUUUUGUUGUUCCUCGUUUUUUUAGCAAUUAUUUUAUGUGUACUAAAUCCUUUGAGAAAUUCAAUGUAUCCAGAACACCAAAACGCAUUUUUUAUAUACUUUUUAUGAAUUAAGAUUUAUCCUUGAAUAAUGAUGACUGUCCUUGUUAAUCUUACUUGUAGUUCCCUUUUGAUUUAAUUUAAGGCUCCAUGACCCUGACCUUUCAUGUUAACAAAUAAAAAAAGAAGAAGAAAAACUAGUGUGACGAGAUCAAUUUAAGAAUCUUUUAAAGAGAAGGGGGAGAGAGAGAGCAGCCACUUCUCAUUUUUUAAAGGGGAAAUUUUAUUUGAACCUAUAUUUUGUAUCUCAACACCCAAUUUACUUUUUAUGCCCAUAUUGUAUUUGAUUUAUCUAUCAUUAUCUCUUUACACCCAAUGUUAUUUCUGAAACCGUCCUUACUUAUCAAAACUCAACUCAAUCAAACUUCUUUUUACACCAAACUCAAUCUACUUAAAUAUAAAAAAUAAAACCCCAAUCAGUCCAUCAUCUCCAUGGAGCAAAGCCCUUUGUCUCUCUCUUUAAAAAAUCCUUCCAUCUCCCAUGGUUGUCAUUUUGCACCCCCAUCUACUCCUCCAUAGUCAUCCAAACCUCUUCCUCUUCAUUUUCUUCAUCAUUUAACAUCUCUAAAUUUCUGGAGCACUAAUUAGCUUAAUAAUUGGUUUGUGUUCAAUCGAUUGGUUCAAUUUUUAUGUAUUGAUUCCUUUUUCUUUUCAACUAAAUGAGCUUCUGGUUAGUGUUUAAUGAGUUUUGUAUGUUUCAAUUAAAUGAGAAUCUUCUAGACUCUAUAUUCCUAUUUGUGGUAGAAAAAUGGGUAUGUCCAUGAUAACUUUUGGUAGAUCAAUGAAUAUUUUUAACCGUGGAUAUUUAUUUUAUUUUGUUUUUGUCGAAACCGUGGAUAUUUAUUAGAUACAAAAGUUGUGGACAACAAUUCACAUUACAUUGAAUUGUGGCUAAAAAGUAUAUCGUCUUUGUACGUUUUAAAGGCGAACUCAUAGCUAAGCAGUUUUUAUUGUGGAGCAAAACUUCGAGAAUUGAUCUAACCUGGAUGUGUAAUUGAGUUUAUGCAUUUUAAUAAUUAAAUUGAUAAAUAUUUCAACUACAUAUGGAUUUAAUAUCGUAGUAUCUUUUAGCCUCUAUAUGCCACACUAGUUGCGGACAAAAAUUCACAAUACAUAGAAUUGUGGUAAAAAAAAGUAUAUCGCAUUUGCAUGUUUUAUAGGUGAACUCAUAGGUAAGUAGUUUUUAUUGUUGACCAAAACUUUGGGAAUUGAUCUAACUUGAAUGUAUAAUUGAGUUUAUGCAUUUUAAUGAUUAAAUUCAUAAAUAUCUCUAUCGCAUAUGAAUUUAAUAUCGUAGUGUCUUUUAGCCUCUACAUUGGUAUAUGUGGCAAAAAAAUGGGUACCUCCAUGAGAAACUUUUGUAGAUCGAUGAAUAUUUUCAAUCUGAAUAUUUAUUAGAUACUAGAAAUUAUAAGUCUAUUUGCGAAAGUCUAAGUCAAUGCCAGGUAGAAUAUUUGUUAAGAUAUAUUUAGAGAACUGUUAUUAGCACUCCAAAAAUCUCAUUCUACACUUUGUACAAGUGUAUUUUUCUUUCUAAUUAUAGAAAGUUAGGAGUGCCAAAUUCGAUUUUUGGAGUGCUAUAGCAAUUUUCUAUAUUUAUAUACAUUUUAUUUUAGUUUGGAAAUCGAUUUCCUUUUUUUUCUUUCUUUAUCAAGUUGGGAGUAUCACUGACUGUGACCCUGUGCAACUAGUUGUUGAUUUGUUUUGAAUAAUCAACAUUAUUUCUUACAAUAUCUUGGGCGUAUGAAUAACAGAAAGAAAACGGUCAUAAUACAAGCUAAAUAAGAGUAGUACUAAUUAGUAAACUACUUGUGCAUGAUGUUUGCUUAUAACCAAGUGGCAUGAAGGGACAAAUGUGUAUGUUUCAUGCAUGACUUGAAAUAGUAUUAGUAAAGUCACACAAGCCAACCAACUUGUUGGCAAGUGACCCUUUACCACAGUGGUGAAAAAGUGUUGUGCUUUUGCAUGACAACGUGAGUUCGAAUUUUGUUGGUAACUGAUCUAACAUCUAACUUACUAAUGCUAUCACUCAACUAAAAAAAAAUAUAUAUAUAUAUUCGAAAUGUAUGUAGUGGAUAAACACAAUCUCAAAAUUUAAUUAAACUCACAUAACAAUGAUAAAUAAAGGCAUUAUCAAAACUUAAGGGUGGUGAGCAAUCCCAUUAAAAUAGAACUUAAUAUAUACAUGUUAAAAACAAAAACAAAUUGAUGCAAAGUCUCCCGACGACUAAUAUUAUUCCAAGUCAUGCAUGAAACAUACACAUUUGUCCCUUCAUGCUCCUUAGUUAUUAGCAAACAUCAUGCAUUUACUAAUACUAUUCCAAAUCAUGCAUGAAACCUACAUAUUUGUCACUUCAUAUAAGCAAACAUCAUGCAUUUACUAAUACUAUUCCAGUCAUGCAUGAAACCUACACAUUUGUACCUUCAUGCCACUUGGUUAUAAGCAAACAUCAUGCACAAGCUGUUUACUAAUUAGUAUUACUACUAUUCAACUUGUAUCAUGACUAUUUUCUUUCUGUAAUUCAUACGUCCAAUACAUUGUAAGAAAUAAUAUUGAUUAUUCAAAACGAAUCAACAACUAGUUGCACAUGAUCACAAUCAGUGAUACUCCCAUCUUGAUAAAGAAAGAAAAAAAAAAGGAAGUCGACUUCCAAACUAAAAUAAAAUGUAUAUAAAUAUAUAAAAUUGUUAUUAGCACUCCAAACUUUCUAUAGUUAGAAAGAAAAAUACAUUUGUGCAGGUGUAGAAUGAGAUUUUUGGAGUGCUAAUAACAGUUUCCUAAAUACGUCUUAACAAAUAUUGUACAUGACAUUGACUUAGACUUUCACAAAUAGACUUAUAAUUUCUGGUAUCUAAUAAAUAUCCAAAUUGAAAAUAUUCAUCGAUCUACAAAAUUUUCUCAUGGAGGUACCCAUUUUUUUGCCACAUAUACCAAUACAGAGGCUAAAAGACAAUACGAUAUUAAAUUCAUAUGUGGUCAAGAUAUUUAUGAAUUUAAUCAUUAAAAUGCAUAAACUCAAUUAUACAUUCAAAAUUUCCCGAAGUUUUGGUCAACAAUAAACUGCUUACCUAUGAGUUCACCUAUAAAACGUGUAAAGACGAUAUACUUUUUAACCACAAUUCUAUGUAUUGUGAAUUUUUGUUUGCAACUUUUGUGGCAUAUAGAGGCUAAAAGAUACUACGAUAUUAAAUCCAUAUAUGGUCGAAAUAUUUAUCAGUUUAAUUAUUAAAAUGCAUAAACUCAAUUACUCAUCCAGGUUAGGUCAAUUCUCGAAGUUUUGCUCCACAAUAAAACUGCUUAGCUAUGAGUUCGCCUAUAAAAUGUGCAAAGACGAUAUACUUUUUAGCCACAGUUCAAUGUAAUGUGAAUUGUUGUCCGCAACUUUUGUAUCUAAUAAAUAUCCACGGUUUAAAAUAUUCAUUGAUCUAUCAAAAUUUAUCAUGGACAUACCCAUUUUUCUACCACAAAUAGGAAUAUAGAGGCUAGAAGAUUCUCAUUUAAUUGAAACAUACUAAACUCAUUAAACACUCUAACCAGAAGCUCAUACCGAUUAUUAAGCUAAUUAGUGAUCUAGAAAUUUAGAGAUGUCAAAUGAAGAAAAGGAAGAGGAAGAGGUUUGGAUGACUACGGAGGAGUAGAUGAUGACAACCAUGGGAGAUGGAAUGAUUUUUUAAAGAGAGAGAGAAGGGGAUUUGCUCCAUGGAGAUGAUGGACUGGUUAUAGUUUUAUUUUGUAUUUUAAAGUAGAUUGAGUUGGGUGUAAAAAGAAGUUUGAUUGAGUUGAGUUUUGAUAAGUAAGGACGGUUUCGUAAAUAAUGUUGGGUGUAAGUAGAUAAUGAUAGAUAAAUCAAAUACAAUGUGGAUAUAAAAAGAAGCCAAGUGUUAAGAUACAAAAUCUAAGUUCAAAUAAAAUUUCCUUUUUCAAAACCGCUCCCAAAAAAAAUGAUGAAUAAGCAUCAGCAACACUACCCACCACCUUCAUUUCCAAAGCAAUUCCUCAAUGCCCAAAUCCACCUCCAUAAAAUCGUCUCAAGUUUUCUAAUCUUUGCUUUCGGUUUAGCACUAGGCGCUUCCCUCAGCAUCCACCUCAAAGAUUUCCCCUUCCAACUUUAUUCAACACAAAACAAAUACUCUCAUUUGGCAACAAAUAAUCUAACAUUUUCUUCUCCACCACCUCCACAAUCUCUCAAUAUCCCAACAAAUAAUCUAACAUCUUCUUCUCCACCACCACCACAAUCUCUCAAUAUCCCAACAAAUCAAACAAAAGCCAAUACCUCCGCCGCCAG
Molecule: long non-coding RNA, 44921 nt
Filed under: Malus domestica (apple)
Lineage: Eukaryota; Viridiplantae; Streptophyta; Magnoliopsida; Rosales; Rosaceae
Description: long non-coding RNA (MDOM_LNC014379)
Source: RNAcentral